Molecule: long non-coding RNA, 67518 nt
Filed under: Cinara cedri
Lineage: Eukaryota; Metazoa; Arthropoda; Insecta; Hemiptera; Aphididae
Source: RNAcentral
CCGUGUAGAUGCAUGACCGCCGCCGUCGUCGUCGCCGCCACCACCGCGCUCUCUCUCCCGAACUCGCGUGCGCUCCGCACCCGAUACCGCCGCAGUCACAGUCGCCAGUCAGUACGCCGCUAACCGCUCCGAACUGCACCACUCGCGGCGACCGUCACACGGUUGUGUCGUUAUCUCGUUGUUCGCUAUACCAUUUAUUAUUGUACCGCUCGAGUGUUUUAACGCCACCCAUUAACGCCGCUCACCGAAAAUGCCGUAUAUUCCAACGACCGUUUCGGGGUUUUCGUCCGGUUAGGUCGCAUUGUUCUUCAUCGACGGGUAAACCGUCGCGUCUUUUGCGCCUUCGCGUGUGUCGUGUUAAAUGUUCGUGAACCACCGUCGGCAAUUCGGUAGCGCGGCAACCACCGACGGGCACGUUCGGCCGAAGGCGAUCCCGCCGGGACACUCGUUCUAAGGUAACAUUUAUACUAUUAUGUCCGUGGGGCCGAUUCGACUCUCUCGCAAAAGCCUCGAACUCUUUGCGGGCUCGACGUAACCCCUUGUCUUUUCAAAGUUGCAUCGUUUUAAAGCGUUAGCCAACAGAUUGUUAAGGUACGUGGUACAAUGUUCCGUUACUGUAUACUCGCUAGUACACGUCGAAACAUUAAGAACACGGACCCCGCGUUUUUUCACGUAGAUCGUCGUGAUGCGAUACGUCUUGCGUUUGACGAAUGUUCGUAUCGUCUUUUGCCAUUCGUCUCACCAUCUUUUGCCGGGCUUUCAUAUACUUUAGGCUAUGCUAGUGUAGCGCGAACCUUCCGGAAGCAAUUAACGCCGAUGAUAUAGUCGAGUUUUCCUUUGAAUUGUUCUUUUCUCGUCCCGUUUUCGUCACCAUAAUAUGGCAAGAUUUCACUUGGUGAGUUGACAUUCUCAACCACUGGUCUUUUGAUCGUGAUUGUUUCGUAACGAGUUUUAAAUGUCACGGGGGUUCAAUUCGCAUUAGUCACUUUAACAUUAUAAUAGUACCGUUUUAAAUAGUUUAAUAAAAACAUGAUUACACUUUCAAGUUGGUAUCUAAUUUAUAAGGGUCGAAAUUAAAUUCGUAUUUUGUAAAUUUCAACACGUCAUGACAAUAUGACAUGCACAAUUUAUCUGUGAUGCUUUGAAAAGUUGUGCUCAUGACCUAUCGGUAUAGUCUCAUAAUUAUAUCUAUACACAUUAUACCCAAUAAUGAAUAUACAAAUACACGCUUCGUUUGCAUUUUACACGUUUAUAGCCCUGUGUAAACUUCUCUGUUCAAACAAAUUGAAUACAUUUCAAGUUUGUAUGCGUUUUUACUAUACUCUAAAAUGUUCAAGAGAACGAAUAGGAGACAGUCUUUACCAAUAUUGAUGUAAAUGAUAAUGGGAAUUUCUUAAAACCAGCCAAUGACCGCUCGAGAAAUAUUAUUCAUAUUUGCAUUACAUAAAUUAUUUAAAUCUAAAUACGCGCAAUUAAGUUAGGUACACACGUUUGAAAUUCAGACUGCGUACUGCCAUUUUUAAAGCAAACACAUUCAGGUCCUGCUUGGCUGCUUAUCAAUAUAUUAUAUUAUAUAAUUUCGGUACUUAUAAACAUAAUAUACUUUGGCUAUUAUUUGAUUUCCCAGUAGAAUUUUAUUUUAUUAUUGCAAAUCUUUCUAUUGAACCAGGUCAGUUAGGUAAAUAUGCUAUCGGUUCAAGUUUCUAGAUAUAACAUAAUAUUGUAUAAUUCUUGAUGCACAAGUUGAUACUUAAUUUGUACGGUAUCUACAAUGACUUACAUAAAUUAAAAUACAAUUUAGCAUGCAGUAUUAUGAAUCGAAAAUGACUUCGUAGGGGAAGUUUAAAAAUUAUUCAUAUUUGGAAAACAAAACAAACGAAAUAGCUAAUGUAGUGAAGUUAUCCUCGAAAUAAUAGGUUAGAUAGUAAUGCGCGGAUCGGUUGUUAUUCGAUAUUUAACGAGUUAUCGUGUGAUUAUUAUUUUUUUUAUACGCGAUUUCAAUUGAACUAAAAUAUUGUGUUAAUGAUUAUGCAUUCCGUCUUAAAAAGGAAUUUCAAGAAUGUAAAUUCGUCCAGCAAUUAUCGAUAUAAUACGCAUGUCUAUAAUGUACAUAUGUACCUUUAGGUGUUUCGUUAAAAUAGUUUAUAUCGGUUGAUAGGUACUAUAUUAAAUGUUACAAGUAAAUGUGAUAUUAGUGCGCCCGCAGUGCCUUUUUCAAUUCUGCCGUCUUAAAUUCGUCAUGAAAAAUAAUAAGGAAGAAUAUUUUACCCCACGUCUCCCUCCCUUUCCCACCCGUGCCUCCGAAGAUGCUUUUAUCACGAGAUUGAUAAUUUACUCGCGAUGUGUAUAGUAUUACGUAUCGAAAUCGAACGCACAUUCUAUAUUACACCUCCAGGCCAAAUGGAAGCUCCUACUCGUUUCCAGCGAAAAAAUUAGUUUAAAAUAUAAUUAUUACUAUCGAAACCGGCGGCGUACGCUUUUUACUUAGUCAUGUAAGCCGUAUAGGUAUUAUUAUUAUUAUAUUCGAUGAACCAAAAUGCGUACCUAUGUAUUUCGAAAUUUUUAAUAUCGAAUGAUAAUAUUAUAGCGUUAUUAUGACUGACAGCUUAUUUAUUGCGAGUUAAAUGUCAGAAUAUAGUGUUCGGAUAUAUUUUGUCCCAGAAAAGAACGGCUUAUAUCAAUUGUGUGUAGUUUUCAAUUAAUUCAAAUUCAAUUUUGAAAAUUCAUACUCUUAUGCCAUUUAAACUAAAAAUCGACUUAAGCGUUUCUUCUACGGAACCAAAGGUAUAAAUAUAUAUAUAUAAUUAUAUUAUAUUCGGAUUUAUUCACACGUGUAGUGUAGGUAAUUUGGGAUUUGGUAAGAGAUUCGAUUCCUGCAAAGAUUUAUCGAAAUCGUUCGCUAUUCGAAUUGACCACAGUCAAUAAAAUAUAUAUAAUAUUAUGUUGUAUUUUUUAUUAACAAAUAAGGGUUUUUUUUUUUUAAAAAAUUUGAAUAAUAAUAUUUAAAGGCAAUGUUGAUAAUAUUUUAUAGUGUUUUCAUAAUCUGGUGAACGCGUGUAGUUUAUAAUCGGGGCUUGAAAUUUUAUGCAAAUGUACGUUUGUUAUCGAAAAUUCAUAUUCUGGGUAACCAAGUAAAAGCUCGUAAGUCUCUUUUAACGAGUAUAAAAAAAAAUUGUCGCAAGUAAACUAUUACUAAUAAAACUGAAAGGAGAAUCAAAAAUUACCCUCCUCCCCAAUGACACCGACUAGAUUAAAAAUGUUACACGAAAGUUUCUAUAAAGUUUUUAGUUGGACUUUUUUUUUAUACAAAAGUUAUUUACGUAAUAAGAGAAUACAAAUUAAAUUUGUUUCGUGUUACAGAUUCUAAAUAAAAAAACUGUUCAGAGCAUUGGUAUUAUUGUAUAAUAUUUUAAUUUUUUUCUAUAAUUAUGCAUAUUCUGAUUGGGUAAUUUUAAAUAGUUUUUUACAUUAUGCUAGUUCUUUACAUAUUUUUUUCAAUAUAAGAUACAUUUUAUUUGAGAAGAUAUUAUAAAAAGGCAAAUUUGCGUUCAGCAGGACCAAUUUUGUGCUGUUAGUUUUAUUACUUUAAUUAAAUUUGCCUAUUAGCAAACUUUAAGUUGUAAGAAUAUUAUCUAUGGAACUACGUCAAUUUUUUUCGAUAUUUUAAAUAAUGUCUAAACGAUACGUACAAAAUAAACAUUUUUAAAUUGUGAUAUUUCACCUCGUAUUUUACAUACAUAUAUACGCUUAAAAAUAAGAAUAUCGAUGAAGUUGCACAGAUAAUUUUCUUAUCUUGAAGUUUGGUAAUAAGUCAAUUCACUCUAAUAAUAAAUUUAACAAUACAAAGUUGUCUCUGCUGAACGAAAAUGUGCUAUGUCGUGCGUCCUAAGUCUGAAGUUAAAUUUUGAAAUUUAAUAUUUUUUCUCCAUAUUUUAUCAUUAUAAACCAUCACCAAUUAAUUAUUAUUUAUAAAUUAAAAAUCCAAAAAGUAAAAAUGUUAAGGUCCAUGUUUUUAUUUGUAUAUGAUUUGCUGUUGAUAGAACGUUUUAAUGGCGUGUAGAACAUUGUUUUUGUGUGAGGCUCAACCAUUUACGGCACUUACCACUAUCACCAACACCAAUUCUUUUAUGAACAAAUCAGUAACAAAUUGUUAUUAAAGUAAUUGCUUAUAACUCUCUGUUCUGUGGUUCUACAGGCUUACGUCUACAACCGUCCACGACCCACGAUUUUAGUUGCGGCACGGGCCUUAAAUAUAUUCUUGGCCACGCCGCUGGAGCGUAUUAUUAUUGUACGUUGGCAACCUCUAAAACUGCGCAUUUAAACAUUUGAAAGUGCAUAUUUCAACUUUUCUGAGUGCAUAAAGUUCCUAGUUCGCAGUUUAAUAUCGUAAUCGUAUUAUAAUACAUACUUGGUAUCGGUGCUUUAGUUUAUUAACGGUUCGUAAUUAUACGGUUGCAUGACACGCUUACUAAUCCAACAAUUUUAUUGCAAACGCCAGCCAAAAACAUAUAAUACUCGGAAAUAAUAAUCACCACGGACGUCGCAUAAUAAUAAUAUUUUGCGAAUACCUCGAGUUAAUUCAAAUAAGUGAGUUUGUAAUUUAAAAAAAAAAAAUAAAAUUAUAUUAUUAUGAUAUUUCCUUCGACUCGUUAUACCGAUACCUACCUGCCAACGUAGUAGUUGUAUUCGGUGCCGUCGCCGCCAUUCCGGUUUUAUUCUAAAUAAAGUCAUUAAAAACAAUAAAGCCAUUAUUUAUACGAAAAAAAAAAAAAAAAAAACCAGUUUACCCAGGCCCGGUAGUUUGCAACCCCUCAAUUGUUCGAUAUACCUACUCAUUACAGUCUACGCCUAUAGGACACGCAGUAAUUAAGUGAUACCUAUAUAUUUCCUUUUAUUUUUCGACGUCCUUUUUUUUCCCUUUUUUUUCCGAACGACGUCUAAAAUUUAUCCACAUCCGUGUGUAUAGCUGUAAGUUUUCAAGCUUGAUAAAAUAUGUAUUUUGAAUAAAUAGUGCGUUUAUAUUAUUUUUUCCUAUAAUAUUAUAUUAUAUAUAUAUACCUACGAUAUUUCAGUUUUCGUUAUAAUGAAUCCGAUAAUCAAAGGUUUAAGAAAAAUAAAUCGUGAAAUUUUAAUGAGCACUAAAACUUAUUUGUGUAUGAGAAAGUUGUAAUAUAAAUCGAGUACCUAACUCGAAUUAUUAUAAUACGAUUCACUGCUGUUAUAUAUAAGAGAAACUUCAAUUACUAUACAGCAUUGUUAUUGCAGGGGUAUACUUAAAACUUCAUAAAUUUGUUUUUACGCUUUAUAAAAUCACCGUAGUAUUUUUAUUAUGAAAAGAAACUUUUAAAGUUUGAUAUUGUGCCGAGUAUUUUUUUUUAUCUUUUGAUUUUUAUUUAUAAAUAUAUAUAUAUAUAUAUAAUAUUCAAUUGUUUUGUUGAGCUUUAUGUGUAACGUCGCGCGUAUAUUGUUUAAUAUGAACAUGUUUUCGAGCUUCGUUUGAUUCUAAUCAUAAUUUAUGGCUUACGGAUCAUCUCGAGUUGGUUAGGUAAUACAUAAAUUGUAUAGGCAAUAUAAUAUAUAAGGUGUUAACGGCAAUCUUGUCAAUGCGUAUACAGAAAUUAUACGAAUCUCGACAAAAUUUGAAUUAGUUUUACUAAUAUUUCUUUCUUAAGCACCUCGGCUUUAUACACUAUAAUAUGGUAAUGACUUUUAUUGAAUAGAUUAAAAUUCCUAAACGAGUACCCAUAGUAUAUAAUCUUGUACACUCACAUAAACACACACACACACAUACGCGCGCGUACACAUAUAUAAAUAUGAAAAAAAGUGUUAACGUUUUUUUAAUUUUUUCACCGCAUCAUUUUGAUCCCGUGUAUUAGUUUGCGUACAUAAACUAUAUAAAGAAUUAAAAUUCGAUGGUUUUAAAUUACUCGAAAUCCUGUUUUUAUCAUAUUAUUUACCGCGCUCAACAUUAAAACCAAUAAGUAUUAUAUUAUAGAAGCCGAAUAGAGCUGGUUUUAGCACGUACGUAUAAUAUAACAUAUAACAUGUAGCAAUUACAGAAAGAUCCGCUAUAUACAAUAAAAAUAAAUAUUUUGAACGCCGUAAAAUGCAUUUUAAAAUGUCACACCGUGUUAAUACCUAACUAUAAUAUUUGUAAUAUUUGCAUCUAAUUUUCGAAAACAACCACCGAUGGCACGAUACAAUAAUUUUUUUUUUAUCUACAAAGAUUCUGAAUAUAAUUGAUUUUUUUUUUUUGUCAACUAUUGUAUAAAACUUAUUUAACGACAAUAUUUUUUGAAAAAUGUUACCCUUAUUCUGUAUACCAUAAACACAUAAUAUCAAAUUUCAAUUUUAAAUAGUACUCUGCCUCCCUACUUUCAAAUCUGAUAUUUAUUUAUUGAAAUUAAUCAUUUUCGUGUACCUAUAACGCGCGCUUAAACAUCACAAUUUACUCUGUAAUUUAUAAUACAUCGAAAUGUUUUAAAAACCGUACAGUUGAUCCUGCAAAUGCAAAUAUAAUAAUUUUGUAGUAAAAUUAUUCGGGUAGGUUUACUAUUAUUCCGUUCAACCAUGAUAUACAAUUUUUAACUUAACCUGGCCUCCACAUUUGUUCAAACCAAAUUCGAAAAGAAAAUAUUUUUCUAAAAAUGUUGUUACGCAUAACAUUAAUAAUGGAUUUUUCCAUUUAUGAGUUAUAACAGUUUAAAAUGCAUAUCGGGGGAGGUCGAAAAGGGGGGGGGGAGGUUACUUAUCGAAAAUAAAAAGUUAUAAUAAUCAUUGAAGCUAUAAUCCAUAAAGAGUAGGGUAAACGUUUGAAAUAAUGGAAAAAUAAAAUUUAAACAAGCUUCGUAAUGAUCGCAAAAUUUAAAACAGAUAUCCAAUUUAUAUUUAAAAUCUUCUGAGAAAAUCGCUGUAUCCGUAAUAAAGAAAUAUCGCUGUUAAAUAGUAUAAAGAAUUCUGACGGACACGGUGUUAUACAAUAUUAUGUUGAAACGAAUUGCGGUGAACAUCGAGUAUAAUUUUGACGAUAUUAUCAUCGCGCCGCAACGGGUGGUUUUCAAUGCGCUUCCGAGACAUCUCUACGUGACCGCAUGUACCAUUAUUGUGUUAACAUAUAUUAUUGUAUUAUAUUAUGUAUAUUGUACAGUCGUGUAAAUGGCGUACGGUAGGUGAACCCACCGCUGUCGUUUGGAUUUCGUGUGAAAUAAUAUUUUAUAUUAUAACCAUAUCGUUGAAAGCGGAUAUUUUUCGUAUAAUUUGCCACGUUUCGCCAUGUGUCUGCAGACGCCGUCAGACCGACCCAUGCUGCGGUGAUCGACUUUAUAUAGUAAUAAUAAUAUAAAAAUACCACCCGAAAUGUAAAAAUUAUUUUUCUAUUCAAUUGGAAUAAAAACGUAACAAAAAAAAAAAAAAAAAAAAACUGUAGGUAGGUAGGUAGGUACCUAUACUCUGUACGUAUAAUAAUAUAAUACAGCCACUCAUUAAUCUAACAAUGAUGUUUCUGAUCAAUUGUCGACAAUUCAAUAGGUAGGUUUUCAUAGUUAACACAUGUAAUAAUAAUUCUUUAGGCACAUAGUAGCAAAUAUAAAAAACAUUUAUAUCCGUACGGCAGUUUAGAAAAACUACACAUGUUUAAUAGGGUGCAUGAUUUUUUUUUUUUUAACGUGAAUUAUAUUAUUAUUUUUCUAUUUAAUCUCCCCUCCCAGUGUUACUAUAACAUAUUAUAUAAUAAUGUAAUACUAUAAUUGUGUAUACCUAUUUAUCGAAGUUAAUCGGUUUCGAGUACGACGCACGCGUUUACACAUUAUAAUAUAGGUAUUUAGUAAAUACCUAAGUCACAGUAAAUUAAAAUAGUUUAAAAAUCGUACAUUUGAUCCUGUAAAUGAAAAUAUAUUAAUUUAUUAUAUUUUUUAUCUUCAUUUGUUAGGUGUUUUUUUACGCUCUAGUGUCGUAUCAUAUUAUUUUUUUGAUUAGCUAACGAUUUAUGUUCUAAAUAAAGAUUUUAAGAUUCGGAGCGUAACAAGGGAUCUGAUGGUUUUACUAAAUGACGUGUGUUUUUGUAUUUUUUAGAUUCGGAGCGUAGCGAGGGAACUUUUGGUUUUACUAUGUGUAUUUUUUCUCUGUCUGAACAACUUUUCGAAAAGAAAUGUAUCAUUUUUUUUUAAAGUAAAAUUGUCUUUAGUUGGAAAAAUGAGAGAGGUUAUUUUUUGAUUUUCCAACAGGUUCUCAAAAUAAUUGGGAAAAACAGAAACAAAAUUAUAGGUAAAACGGAAAAUAUUUACGCGGCGUUACCGAUUUCAUUGUUUUUAAUUUUUGUAAACUAAGUUUUCCACCAGAAAUAUUGUUCCAAUUAAAAAAUAACAUUAGACCUUUUUGUUGUAUUUUUAAUCUUGUUAGUGAGUAAAAAAGUCGUCUUUUGAUUUCCCUGUAGAUUAUUUUUUUAAUAAUUGAGCAAAACAGAAGAAAAACGUAGAAAGAACGGGAAAAAGUACAAAAAUGGAUUUAUUAUUUUCAAUUUUGGUUUUUUGUUGUAUUUCAGUAAACAUAUUCGUAGAAACUUGAAACUUAUACUUAAACAGAAAACUUAUACUUGUUUUUUCUAGACAUGUUAAUUUUUAUUUGUUAAGUACUCUGUAGAUAAAAUUGUCUAAUUGUCUAAACGAAAAUGUUUGAAAAUUUGAUAAGAGGUUCAUUACAAGUCGUUCUUCGUGGUCAAAAAAAAAAAAAAUAAAUAAAUAAUAGAGUAUUACAUUUAAAAGUGUUAAAUUUUAACAAAAAUUUUAAAUAUUUUAAAUAUUAUAGGCCUUUAAAAACAUGGAUAACCGAACUUUGCUUUCAUUUUUCGUCAGCAAUGGCCAUUGGUUGACCGUUCCUUACAAGGAUAAAUAACCUUAUGUAUCCUACCUUUUCAACUAUCCAUCUACAACGGUGAUACACCCGUCCUCGGUAUCACCUCUUUUUUUAAAAAUAAAUAACGUAUAAUAUGUAUAAACAUUAUACUUAACGAGCAUGUAAGUAGUUUUUUUUCAAUUUUAUAUGUACUUUAAAUUAUAUAUAGACUGUGGGAAAUCUUCAAGAUUAUUUUAAGUACAAUUUUGAUGAAUAAAUCAGUUAAUAAAACAAAUAAAAUUAUCUAUUAAUAUAAUAAGAAGUAUACAAAGUCAAAUAAUUGUUCAAAACAGAAAUUCGACUCCAGCUUAUUGAUCUUAAUGUAUGGAUAAAACGAAUCUCUUUUAAUCGCUUUAAUAUUUUUUUAACCUAUCUCUUAAAACGUUUAUUACGUAAAUUACUUUGAUUGUAACGAAUUUUCUGAUAUAAAUUACAUUUUACAUUUUUUACAUAAUAAUAAUAAUAAUAAUAAUAUUUCUUUGUAAUCUAUUCAUUUGAUAGGUAUUAGAACACGGUGUUCGAAGCCCUAUAAUAUAUACCUUUAGUGAAAUUAAAUACGUAGUUAUUAACUUUAUAACACAUAGUUUUUUCUAACUGAACGUGCGACAUUGCUGAAAAUAUGAUAUCGAAACGAAUAAAGCAAAAAUUGUUUUUAUUUUGAUAGAAUCUAAAAAAAAAACGAUUGGUGAUCGAAUUUCACGUGAUUUACAUAAUACGAGGUGAAAUCUAUACCGUGUAGUUUGUAACGACAUAGUUAUACAGUCGACUGACCAAUAUCUCUGUUUGUAGACGUUUAGAAAUAUGAUGUACAUUAUGACACGAAUGUUUGCGGCGGUGGAAACAAUAUUUGCAUAACGUGUUUUAUGGUCGUAUAGGUAUAUAAUAUACUCGUAUACCCAUGCUUUAUUCUUCGGUCCACAUCCCGCGUUCGUGAUAAUAAAUAACAACAAUGCCGGGCAUACACUACAAUAAUAAUAAUAAUAAUAUAUUAAUACACUAUAUUAUAAUAUAUAAUAUUAAUAAUACAAUAGAUCGUAGGCCCGAUGUUUAGAUUUAUUAUAAUUCCCAUUAAAACCGAUCGUACAAUAAUACGAGCCGCGCGGAGUACAUAAAUUAUUAUUUUUUAUUGGUCAUUCACUACGGAAACGAAACGGGAAUUAAACACAACUUACACGAAUUCUAUAAUGUUAUCAUCAUGACGAAUGUUAAAUAUUAAUCAACACGUGUCAGAACGCGAGAGCGAUUUCUCUUUGUAAUAAUCUACACGGCAUAUAGGUGUAAUACGUCUGUUACACUCGUACAUAAUAUUAUUAUUAUAGGUAUCGGCCGAGUGGCUAUAAUUUCACACGUGUUACCGUCUAUCCCGACCAAGAUGCCGCCGCCGGUUCGGUACUUUUCACACGUAAAUUAUUCUUAUAUUAUCGUUCGAAAUCCUUAAUAUGGGUACGUCGCGUGUUUGGACGCAUUGCGGGGUUCCUCAGUAGAUAGCUAUAUUGGCACACUCAAGCCCAUUAACCUUACAGUAUUAUAAACCAAACUUGCGCUGUAAAACUCCCCUGACAAUAAUCAUUUCGUAUGUACGCUGCACCAAGCGCAUUAUAAUUUGUUCGGUAUGUGUUUUUAAACUUUAAACUGUUAUUAUAAAUUAAAACAAAAACUGUCGGAAAUUUCAAUGGGAAUUCUUUCUCGCGGCGUAUAACGUAAAAUAAACGUUAAAUAUGCAUAAUAUUGCGUAUAGUACGUAAUAUAAUAUUAUUGUAUAUUAUAAUUUUCGAUUUUCCUGUCUCGGUUUAAAACGUUACAUCCGUCGCGUCGUCGUGAUUUUCCGAAAAAAUAAAUCGUCGCAAUCUGUGCAUUUCAAUGAUGGUUCAAUGAUGUUGUGCGAUUUAAAAAUAAUUUAUUAUUAGGAAAAAAUAAAGAAAAACAACUACGUUUUAAAUAACAAAAAGAUCAGAUUUUGAUUGAACAUCCGAAUGUUAAAUUUACCGGAGGCGACAACGCUCACUGUUUACAGUCGCUUUUAUCGGGACCGUUGUUAUUUUAAUUUAAUCCACGGGUUUAAGAUAACAUUUGAACAACAGAGAUUCCAAAUAAAAACACUUAAAUCGACAUUUGCUGUUUACGCGAAAAAAAAAUAAUGUAGAAAUGCAUUAGCUUUUAUGCUUAAUUUAUUAUAUAUUAAUAUAUUAUACGACGUGAUGCCGCCGUCGGGGAAUACUUAAAAACGCUAAAAGCAAUACUUUCGAAGGUACGUAAAAAAAAAAAAAAAAAAAAUCGAUGAAUAUACGGCAAACUACAAAUCCGCAUCUGUGCAAAUCCGCAGACGUGGGUGGUGGGUACGGAAAGAUUAUAGUGUAUAUACCAGCAGUGUUGGGAAAGUUUCUUUUUAAAAGGAAUCCGUCCCUUUAAUUUAAAUUUUUUUUUUUAUCGAUACCUAUAAUAAGUCCCAAAAUAUACUUAUGUAUUUUUUUUAUUUUUAAAUUAAAAAUACUUAUAUUUAAUUUGCUUCGGAAACGUACAUACUGUAGGUUUUCGUUAUACAUCAGCCAUUCGCGUACUUAAUUAUACAAUUUGGUAAUGUACGGGAAAAUUGUAAAAAACGAACGAAUAUUUGCGUUCACGUUUCCCAUAAAUAGGAACCUACUUGUUCUUUUAUUUUGAAAGCCGCGCGUUCCGCGAUUCUUUCCCGGAUAAAAGGAACGCGUUCUUCGUUCACAACUUUUGUUGUACACUCACGGAAUACAAGCAGACGAUCGUAAAACAACGAGUGUUUUUAUGCGCGGCGAUUGGCUGUGUAAUAUUUUAGAUAGCUUAUGAUAUAUGUAUUAACAUACAACUAAAUAUUUAUACGUCUGCGAUGUUGACAAUGCAACCCCGUAACCCGGUAAGAUAGCUCAAUGAAAAGUUUCGAUACGUUAAGCCGUAGAUUAAUAAUUUAUUGUAAAGCCUACAAUAAUAUCGAAAUUUGUCGUCGGGUCAUCCCGACGGUCAUUCACAGAACUCAUCUAAAAGUUUUACCGAACAAUAUCGGACGGGGUAAAGUCACGCGGGUCCCGAAAGUUUUGUUUUUCAAUUCUCGCGUUGUAUAAAACGAUUGUCCUCGUUGUCGCGGUGACCGAUCGUAGUACUCCCGUGUAUGGUAUAUAAAAAAAAAAAAAAAAAAUCGCCCGGCCAACACACAAUCGUAUACGUAUAUUUAAUACAGUGGUGUCGAUUUAUGCUCUUUACAUACUAUGUAUAUUAUAAUACAGUUACCGUUUGAAGUUACCGGUAUAUAAAUUAGCUUUUCGCGCCGUUGUUCUUGUUGUUGUUAUGAUAUAUAGAAUGACAAUAUUGUACACGCGCGCGUGUGUGUGUGUGUGUGUGUAUAGCGUCGGAGAGAAGGAACUACUGCGGCGGCGGCGGCGGGGAGGGAAGGAAAAACAUUCCGUGCGCAUUAUAUUCCGAAAGCCGUUCGUUUCGUAUUCGUAUACAUCUAUGUAUAUUACGCGGGUGCAGUGGCUGAAACGGGAGGGGGGGGGGAAAUAAAAGGGGAAAAAACUGGUGCGAUGACACUCGGCGGCGGCGUCAUGAUUUAAGACUCGGCCGGGCGCUCGCCGCGCGCGCACGCACCGCGGGUAUAGGCACCGCGUUAAUAUUUAUAAUGCGCUCCGUUCGAACGUCAUCCACAAAGGGCAAUUGUACCGGGUCUCCUUUCCCCGUAUAUAUUUUAUUAUUAUAUUUGUGUAUUUACGUCGCCCGCGGUACCGGGAAAAUCGGUAUCGUAGGUAUUAUACGCAUAUACGUGUAUAUACGUAACUGCGCGUUAUGCGAUUAAAUCUCCGGUUUGUUUCGUAUAAUAUAAUAACGCGUAUAAAAUGUUAUUGCGCGCAUUUCGUACGGCCGUAUCCGAUAUUAUAUUAUUGGCAACUCGGCACGGCAGCCGCGGCACCGGCGCGCCGCCGACGCUGCCGCGGUUUGUACGCCGCGCGACGAUACCAUCGGCGUCGGCCGCGAAAACGCGCGCGCGCUCCACUCGCCCGUACAGAUAAAAUAAUAUUAUUGUUUUAACGUCGCGCGCACGUGACAUCGCGUAUAUUAUGUAUACGUAUGCGUAUUGUACAUUAUAUUAUUGUCGUUGUUGAAAUACGGACCGCGGGCAGAUAAUAUCCUACAGCGGCCGCCGUCGUCGGUGCCGCGAUCCGCGGCGGCGAGUGUCGGAAAACUCGCGCGCGCUAACGGAUCCGAAGGCGGUAACGAAACUACAUCGGUUUUGGGAGGGGGGGGGUUCGGUGGUGUAGUGUGAUGAGGACUGGACGGACGGACCGCCACUUAUCCGCGUGUCGGCGCGCCGAACGGAAAUAGCGUUUAUUUUUUAUUUUUUUUUUUUUUUUUUUCCGAGGGGUAGUCAAAUCGAUUUCACUACCCCUCGGAAAAAUGAUUUCCCUGUUCUCGCCCGACCCCUUGCGCGAAAGUGCAAUGUAUAGUUUGGACGAUUCGUUUAGUAAUAAUAUUGGUGGGUUUACGCGGGUGACCGGAAAGAGUUCCAAUAAAUAUAGAGCCGCUUAUGAAGUAGUGAAUAUUUUAUUACGCAACGGAAAGACUUUUGUUCAAAUCUGUAGGUGACGUUCGAAACUAUCGUAUACUUCGAAUUGAAGUAAAUAAAAUCGAAUUUUGAACUGAAAUUUGAUUUCCCUGUCUCGCGUAUUUCUAUCGAAAAUAUUCAUAUAUCGGUUAAUAAUACUCGUAGAGACCUGCAUUUUUACAAACAACUUGUAUUGGCCUUUUCUAAACGUGGUAAAAUUCUUGAAAUAUUCUGACGAUAUCUGAACUAUUUGUAUGCAUUUUACAUUUUCUAGUUUGUUUUUUUUUUUUUUCGGAAUUUUUAUUUGGUAGAUAUUAUUAUUUAUGAAUAAAAUUGUUUGACCAAACAGAAAUUCUUGACAAUUUAUUUCGAGGUUCAUUGUAAGUUGCACUUAGUGGUUAAGUUAAUGGAGCUCAAAAUAGUGUUUCGUCAGCAAUGAUUUAUCGCGUCGUUGAUUGCAGACAUAAAUUAAAUAAUUUAAUUUAUCCGAACUUCCCAAUGACAACAGUGGCACACACACCAGCAGUAUUAUAGCUCUUUUUAUGUAUAUAUCUAUUGGUAGUAUUGGAUGUACUAUUGUACUUUUAGUACUACAAACUUCAACGUCGACUUUUGAUAUUUUUUCCAAUCAAUUGUUCAAUAGGACCGAAUGGGAUUUAUCGGAGUGUUUUCGAAAAGUUAUGAUAAGUUAUAGUAGUGCCGGCUUCACGUAUGUUACAAUUUCGUUAUUAAAUAAUCCGUACAGUUAACUCCUAUACGUAUAUAGUUAUAUACAUGUAUACGGUAACUUUGGAUUGCUGCUGUUGCUGUUCGCCACUUCAAUACAGAAAAUAAGUUUACCUAGUUUUUUUUUUUUUUUUUUUUACCUAUACAAAGUAUAUUAAAUCAAAUCAAACGGGCGCGGCGGCAUGAAGUGAAACGACAAUAAAUUCGCCUAGGGCCAGGUCCAAAACCGCUGUCUGGUUAAAUCCUUCACUGUGGGUUAUAAUGCACUACCCGACUGCGGCUCAUUUAAUAAUGACUUCAAAAUUGACUUUUGAAACGCCGUGGUCGUUACGGGCGACAAUGGAGCAAAAAACUCGAGACUCAUGCCUGUUUAUAUAUACGUACUAGUAUGUCGAUUGUUGUGUACACCGGUGGGUACUCAAAUGCGUGUAAUUAUAACGUUCAUAACGGAAUACGAAGCCGUAAAACCCAUAUGUUAAAUAAUAUAAAUGUUUUCGAAAACAUGCACUAAGUUUUUUUCCACGGCCGACAAUGCAAUCCGAUUAUUAUACGUAUAAGAUAUUGUACGCGUAAUAUACGUCAUACACGAGCACACAGCUGCGGUAUACGAACGAAACUUGUUACAUUAUUUACUGUUUUACACGCGCCUCUGCCUAGUACUUCAAAAGUUUUCUUCCUCCGAAUUGUUUUCACAUUCAAUCUGUUCCGUGUUCAUAAUAUUAUAAAACAAACGCGGAUCGAUUGCAAAUCGAGUUUAUUGUUAUUCACUGGGUAUUAUUGCAAAUGUUAUUGUUAUUUAUCGGUUUCUUUACUCCGCCGUUAUUGUUAUGUUAUCGGUCUACAGGAGCGCGGAGGCGCACAAAAUCACUGCACGGCGCACACGGACAAAUAUAUAAUUUACCUAUUGAACACGUGUAACACGUAUAUAAUUGAUUUAAAAAUAAAUUUUAAUUGAUAAUGAUCGAUUAAAAUUACGCGCUUUAUUGCACUUGGGCGUCCGUAAACACGGGUUCAAUAUUGAUAUUAAAUGUGACACAGUUAAACGUUUUACGCAAUUUAUUAUUUCGAGCGCACGCGAUCGAGCACAAUUUUUUAUAGACAUAAAAAAAAAAAAAAAAUAGCUCGACUAAAAUUAUUAUAAUAAUACGUAUCGCGUGCGCGCGCGCGUAAGCACGUUUAAUGUAAAAUGUAACCGAGAAUGUCCGUUGACGCAAAAUUAAUUAUAUUUUAUACCGAUAAGUUAAAUUGUACCACACGAAGACAAGUUUUUUUUUCUUCCCCCCCCUUCUCCCGCCCGACUUUACAGUUGUAUCCUAAUAAUAAUAUUAUAUAUGGUUUUGGUCUCGCGUGUAUUAUUAUUAAUGUCUCACCCGUCGGACCGAAUAUCAAAACGCCGCGUUCAAAAUCAAGUCUCGUUAUUAUUUCCGAGAACAAUUUAUCGUUUCAGAUCGAAAAGAUAAAUAAGUGGACAAAUAUAAAAAUAACCCAUCCGAAAAUUAAACAGAUAUUAUUUAUUCUACUAGUAACGAAUGUUCCGUCGGGAUUCCGCGACGACGACGACGACGACGACAACGGGGUGUAAACGUAUUAUAAUAUUAUUAUCGUUUCGUGUUAAGUAGCAGUCGUUCCCGAACCGAUAUAAUAUUUUAACGCCGCCGACACCGGCACACACAAUAUCCCGAUGGUUUUCGUUAAUAUUAUACUCUCGUUUUACGUCUACAGAAAAAAAAAAAACUCCUUUUUUUUCUUUAUUAUAAUGUUUUCGGGAAAAAACGAUAUUCGGUCCGGCGUCGGCGUCGUCGUCGUCGUAUUAUAAUAAUAAUUAUGCGCGUGUGUUUCUCGAGUCAAAACAGCGGGCACCUAUUAUUACAGAAUAAUAUUUAUGUAUCGUCUUUUUUUUCAAAUACGUAUAUUAUAUUUUAUUUUAUUUCGAGACGUUUCGGUACGCGUCGUGUACGCGCGUAUAAUAAAUUUCCCGAUUUCGAGAGAAAAUAAAAAAAACAACCCGUAACCGUGCGGGAUACGAAAACGCUCGUAAUGUCGCGUGUACGACGAUCGCGUGCGCCGACCGAGCGGAAAAAAAAAAAAAAAAAAACCGUUGCCCGGGUCUUGUCGCGCCGCUUACCGGCCCCGGGCCGUCGUCUGCGUCCUCGGGCGUUCCCGGACGGUGCGUACGCGGCGCGGCGGAAUCGUUAUCACAGACCGCGGCGGCGGCGAUUAAUGGAAACCCCCCCCCCCCCCCCGGUUUUCGACGCCGCCGCGACGCGUCGCGCGACUCCCGAGCCCGUGUACACGUAAUACACGUAUUAUUAUGACGUAUCGCUGUCGACGCGCGCACACGGCAACAUUGUCAUAAUGUCUCCGACGCAUGAUGCGUGCGCGCGCCCACACACGUUUACUUUCCGUGUCACCGCGGCGGCGUUCGUCCGCACACACGCGUACUCGCGAACGGUAGUGGCGCGCCGCCGCCCCGGGCUGCACGCGCGUUCCGUUUCUCCCGUGUACGUUUAGCGACGGUAACGGGGGGGAAAAACACACACACACACACGACGUUUCGCCGUUCGUUUUUCGGCGCGGCGUCUCUGCGGCCAUCCGCGAAAAUACCGCACGCGCAACAGAUUUCGCAUAAUAAACGCGCGUAAACGUAUUCCCGCCCGCCCGCCCGCCCGCGCGUACGCGCGUUCGAAACGGUGCCCGUUUGCGACAGGUUUGAUCGAACCGCGUUUUCGCGUCCACGAGAAUUAAGAAAAUAAUCGUUUUUCUCAACGUUCUACGCAACGGUCACUUAUUGCCGCCGCCGUAGGGGUCGGCGGCGCGCGCUUCGGAUGGAUAGGCGGAGAUUAGAAUGUUAUCGCGUUAGCCACCCUUUGGCAUUUUUUCCCCCGCCCGUCUUCCGCAGUUUAAUGUAUAUAUAUAUAUAUAUAUAUAUAUAUAUAUGUAUGUAUGUAUAGAACAUUUUCCUUUUCAGUGGUCCGGGGACGUUUUUGCAGCAAGAGCGCCGUCGUCGUUCGUCCGGCAUAAUCGAAUCGAAGGAGCCGGGGUCGGUAAACGGGGCAGAACGCGGAACACCGCCAAACCGACUUGGCGGUCGAAACGGAAAUACGUAUUGGUUAAUAAAAUUGUCCCGUUUGAGUUAAAUACUGUAACAACAGAAAUUAACGUUGCGCGACGAUCAAACUCGCGAGGGAUAAAUGCGAUUCGUGUUGCCGGCACAAUAUUAUACCGUACAAAUGUAAUUAUCACAACAUGUACGCGGGCUAAAAUCGCGAAACUUUGGACGAAACCCAAUCGAAAAUCAAGAAAAACGCCUUCUCGGGCGCAUCGCGGUGUAACGUUUACGCGACUAUAGGUCUGUCUUAUUCUAUACAUACGUAUAUAUAUAUAUAAAAUACAUAUCAACUGCCGUAGAGGAGGAAUCUCGCGGUCGACUCUUCCCAGACUUCCGGCCAGGAUGUUUGUCCACUUAAAAUGCUUUCCGCGUCGGCGCUAUCUCUUCGUCGGGGGUUAAGUUUGUGAAAUAGUCCGUCGGCGGUGUUUUUAAAUUCGCAUAUACUCUGUGUGCGCUGAAGUACGCUAUACGCAUAAGUAUAUACGUGUACACAUAGGAUUUUCGUUUGAACGUGAUGGUCAAUUUUCGCUUAACCCGAGACUAAUAGUACCCAUCCCGGACAACUGACGCGUGCGGUAAGUACAACGAAAACCCUAACCGCGCGCGGUUAUAGGCGUACACGGGCUCUGCGAUAUAUUAUUUGUUAUAUUAUUUGCGGGCGGCUCAAGUUAUUUUUUCGUAGUCGGCCAACCACAAUUAUUAGCCCCGACAACCCUUCUCGCUGCAGGCCUAUACGUGACUGCAAUCGUAAUCUCUCUCUCUCUCUCUCUCUAUAUAUAUAUAUAUGCAUACACAGGUACGACGUGACCUUAAGUAUUGACCGCGGUUAUAGGCAGUGUUGACCGCGUUAUUGUUACCAGUUUGGUGGAGCGCAUAUCAAAAUAUAAAUUUGCGUACCGUAAUCGAGUAGUUUAAAACCAAUUUAGUAUAGUGUUAAAAACGCAUACAAGUUAUUACAACGAAUAAUAUUAUCGAAAUAUUCGAAUAUUCGAUUAAUUGACCAUCGUCAGAGUGUGAACCGUUUGGGUCUCGGGUGUAUCGUUCGCCGAGUGACGAAUUUUCAAAAACGUAUACAUCGUAUACACGGGCGUGCGCAGACUUCAUUCGCAGGUUAUGCAAUAUGACGAAUAGGACCCCUACCAAAUCUAAAACCGUACCGAGUCACAUUUUAUUGAAAAUAUUAAAACAUAUAAAGUCCGAGUCUUUUUUUUAUCGGCACAAACGUUUCGAACCCAUCCGUUACUUCUCCAAUAUUGAUUUCCGAUGCCGAUUUGUUCGUCCAAUAAAUAUCAGCAUAAGUGAAUGUUGACGAUAUUGUAACGCGGUGCUUCUGAGUUUAGAUUUAACAAUAGGCAAUUUGAAAAAAGCCCGCUCGCGCGAUCGAUUUGUCACGGGUAUUGUUGAAAACUGUCGCAUUGCUUUGUUGAGGUUAGAAAACGUUGUUUUUUUCCCCUACCGUUUCCCGAUAACCAAUAAUCGAUGCAAUUGUUUUAGUCGAUGACCCUCUAAUAGAAGUUGUGUCAGACGUGUUUUUUUAAUGUGUUUAAUUUCACACGCAAACGAACUAUCUAAAUUGAAUUUUUCGUACUACACGAAGCCGCAAACUACGUGCGCGCGCCUAUGAUUGUAUACGACAUAAUAUAUUACGAUUUUUAUAAUUGGAUACACCGGAGAUGGUCGUGUGAAUCGUCGAUUUACGGCAGACACUGAUUCGAUCCGUUUACAUCACCUCCGAGUGAUUCGAUUCAAUGGAUCCACUCGUAAAACGCGCGCAUACCUCUUAUUGUGUGUGCUAUUGUUCCGCAGUUGUAUUACAGCCGGUCACUGUCGAGUCGAAUCACGUGAUUGUAUGUGUUUUGGUUAUUUCCAGGUAGUUCGUCGUACGUGCAAUAUACGAGCCGGUGAUUCAUGAACGAUGUCUACGGUUUUCCCUUUCCGCGUAAAAUAUCGAAAAUAUUGCGCGGUUUCCUCACUGUUGUCGAUGCGGCGCAAAUGUGCACUUACUUGUGACGAUUGUGACGAUACCAAUGCAUUUAAAUGUCGAUGAAUCGUGUCACGAAGAUCCGUACAAAGUCAACGGUAAAAGCCGAGCACCGCAACCGAACGCGAUCGACUCUGCGCACCGGUUCUCCGGCCGAAACGAAUCCUGUAAACGUUGUCUACGGGAGAAUAUUGGCGGUGUCGCCGAAUCUCGCGAAACGGCAGCGUUCGUACACGGUACAGGGAUAUCGUAAACGCGAACCGAGACCGCUGACGGUGUACGGGCCGUUAGAAGCGCGAACGUUAAACGGAACGCGAUUGGGCGGUCCGAAGUGUCCCGACCGACAUUUAAGGGUGGGUGGGGAAUAUCACACGACGUACGAAACACCGCCGGUUUCCGUGCGCCCGGGUUAUUCUCGUGUGCUCCAGGUACGUACGAUAUUAUUAUCGCACGCGCCGCGACGGUUUUCUUCUCCGUCGAGGGGGAGCAAAAAAAAAAAAAAUAAAUAAAUAUAUGAAAUACCGGCGAUCGCGCGCGCAUGUGCCCGGCAAAUGUUGCGGUCGGUCCGUCGCCGUCGAUUAGUCCGAGACGGAUUAACGUGGCGGCACGCGCGCGCGCGUAUCGUUGACGGCGGCUAUACGUUCACGACAUGAAACGCGUAAAUGAAACGCGCGCGGCCGCGAGGUUGUCACGGCGAGUGAAACCGACGGAAAUAAAAAUAUCUCAUUUUCUUGUCCGCGGGGUUCCAAUUCAUUAUAAUCGUGCGCGUGCGUGUGGCUCGUGUUAUUGUUGUUGUUGUUGUUGUUGUUGUCGCUGCGUUACUGCGCGGCCUUCGGCUGCGGGUUGAUGUCUCGAUUGCCGUUUGCAUUGUGCGCGGGUCUUGUAAAUCUCCGCGCGUCCGACGAAGGGCUUGACAUCUUAACACAGUUGAUAAAAACCAACAAACGUCAAACAAAAAAAAAAAAAAACAGAUAAAACCCCGUCAAAUCCCCUAAACAAAACAUCACCGAUCAUAGUCGUUUCGACCACAAUAAUCUCUUGUGGUUUCGACGUUUUGUCGAUAUAUUUUUCGUGUUUUAAUAAUAUUAUUUGGGUUUUUUUUGUUUUUCAGGCUCUCGAAUCGAAAUCGUCUGAUGCUUAAUCUGCCAACAAAUGUUUUAACCGACGAAAACUAUGUAACCGAGGUGAGUGUUAACCUUUUCAGAUCUAUCCAUUUACAUGUUUUACAUUUGAUAUAAGCGCACUCGGGGUGUUGUAGAGUUUAUGCGUUUAUCGAGGUAAAACUCUAAUUGGGAUUCUCGUUAAUUUGUUAUUAUUGUUUAGCUUUUUUUUUCUUUUUUACACAACUUGCGCUAUAAUAUUACACAGUCCUUCUGGGCGGCGACGGUUUUAAAUGUCUCGCCGAUUGGCAUUGGCAUGUAGAGCACGUGACGAGUCAUCUAAAAAGUAUAAAAUGCGCUGUUUAAGCGCCCGGCAUAGUAAUUAAGACGUCGUGUCUGCUGCAGGUAUAUACUCUCUCGGAGUACAACAAACAGAAAUCUGGUACGAUUCUGCUGUUCGUGAUGAAUACAAAACGAGCCCGCCUAGGUUACCGGUGACACUAUUGUCGUGUUCCCCGACUCAGAUUAAAUAAAAUAAACACGCCCGUGGAGAGACCCGUAAUAGGCAGGUUCGCUAUGAACUCACGAUCGGACAUUUUAAUUGGAAUAAAUCAUUUUCGACCGUCAAUUGUCGCGGUUAGAAAAGAGCUACAACAGCAGCAGCAGCAGCAGCAGCUGCCGCUGGAUCAGCGCCAACCUCCUUUGCCGGGAUAGAAUGUGACACUUACGGGGGCGUGGCCGACGUUUUCCGACGUAUUAUAUUAUUAUUAUUAUUAUUAUUGUUAUUAUGAUCGCGUGAUAUUUAAUGAAGUAUUGAAGUUAUGCGCGUGUCCCGGCGCCAGGUGCAGAGAAAACAGUAUAAUAUAAUCGACUUUUUUUUUUUUUCGUUACAUAAUCCCAGAAUGAUAUAUACGUAUGUACUCGUAUACAGUAAUAUAAUAUUACGAUAUUCUAUACGUGUUACUGCACCCGGGGGACCGGGUAUACGUAUGUGUGUACCCAGUGUUCGAAUUAGUAGAAAUUAAGUAGAGGAGCUCAAUCCGACAAUUUAAAACUACGUUCCGAGUGCACAAUCACUCAACAAAAACCCGUGGGGGGCAUCGCCCACCGCUCUUUCCACCUUACCGGCAUUUCGCUUAACACUUUUCGGCUACAAACAUUCAAAUAAUUCCAAUUAUAUUUCGACAUCAAAAUCCUUUUAAAUUGAAAUCCACAUUAACGGACGUUAACUUGUGCCGUUCAUCCCUCCCCUCCCCCCGUUCUAGUAAAAAAAUAUAUGGUCGGGGCGCGUAAAAAAAAAAAAAAAUGCAUCAGAAGAGUUCCGUCCCGAUGCGCAACCCCCCCUCCCCCUUCGAGCGAAUUCGAGCACUGUUUAUAAUACCUCUAACAUAGAUCGUUAUUGAAUAUAUUGUAGACGGACGCGCGCGACGGUUAGACAAUCAAAAUUAUUAUUUAUUACACUCGCGUGUACCAGAAGUGUAUCGUCUCUUCCGGCCCGCGCAGCCGGACCGUAAUUUUUCGUCCGUCCGAAAACGUUCGCCUCGUUUUCGGCGACGAGACCCCGGACCGUAACGUCCGUUCUCGGAGUGUGCGCGCGCGCGCACAGGUCUGCCCGGACAUCAUUAAUCAUAUUAUUGUUAUUACCGUGCGCGCCGGAGUUUAUCCCGCGCGAUUCACGUGACACUACGAUCGCUCAAAAACGGGGAUUAAAAACAAUAAUACCGGUACGCGCGGACCGCGACGUCAAAUGCGGACGGGCGGGCACGGGCGGUCGCGUUAUUAUCGCCGCGUAAGACGGCCCGGGCGCAUUAUCGACUCGGCGAGCGGUAGUCGCGACGCGCGUCCGGGCGACCGGAUUUGUCUCGAGACGGUCGCCGCCCGCGUACGCGCGCAUUAUGUCAAUACGGUACGUACCCGCUGUCGCACUGUGACGUAGUAAAAAGUCGUGUUCCCGCGGACGGGCACAAUAAAAUAAUACGGGUUUUUUUUUUUACGGCCGGGGUUUAGGUAUAAUGAGAGAGAGAGAGAGAGAGAGAGAGAGAAAAUUUAAAAAGUCCGGAACACGUAAUAAAAUAUUUACGGUCGCUUCGCGGAAGCUGUGCCGCACGAAAUAAUAUACAAAACGAAACAAACGUCGCGAUUUCCUUCUUCUUUACCUGUACGUUUUACCGUCUUUGACCGUUCUUUUGGCGCGUAUUAUUGUUGUACUCUACGUUUGUUAUUUUUUUUCCUCCUCGGUAGCAUUAUGUUCUGUGUCGCACACGGUAUAAUAACGUAUAAAGUAUUUUCCCUGACUAGAACGAGGGUGUGCAUUUUUUUUUUUCUCUAUACAAUAUUGCGGUUUGGUACAAGGGACACGUUCGAAUUUAGAAAAAAAAAAAAAUAAUAAUAUUAUUAUUAUUAAUACGGUCCUCGUUGUGCUUUUCUUUUUUUUUUUUUUGGCAAAGAACGCAGAUUGAAGAAUACAAUAACAAUAAUAAUGAAAAAGAAAAAAAAAAUUUAAUAAUAAUGUAUGCGAGUGUAUAGUAACAAUACGUGUUUUACGCGAGAAAACAAUAUUUAACUGAACCCCAAUAGCGAAUAUUUCACACGUAAUAUAAUAUUAUUUUUACGCGUGUUUAUCAAGGCUUCGAUUUUCGCACGUAAAAUUCUGCAAGGACCCUACCCGCGGGGGACGUGACCCUGGGUACGCAGUCAAAUCACGGUCUGGGGUUUUUUUUUUUUUUAAUGAAAUUCACAAUAUCCUCCGUAGUAUAUUUGUAUUAUUAUCUGAUAACUACAUAGUUAAAAUAAUAAAACAUACCGCGUGCGCAGUAUGUUUACAAUAUAAAAUAAAUAAUAAAUUGACAUUGUACGCGUUGUUAACGCGUAAAAAAAAAAAUCCAUUGUAAUUUGUAUAUAUUUCGUUAUUAAAAUAAUUACACGACGACGGCCGACCGACUAUACUUGGGUAUAUAAUACAUACCUACAGCAUGAUUAGUAUUUACUAAAAAUGAUUGACACGUAAAAAUUGUCAAUAAAAAAUAAAAAACCCUCAACCGUUACACAUAAUAAUAAUAAUAAUAAUAUAAUGUGUAUUUUAUAAUAUGUAACGACGAUAAUGUGGCAUUGUGCUAUUAUGAUGUUAUGUAUCCGUCCGACGGUCCAGGGCCUGUCGUCCAUUGAAAGUCGAUUUUUUUUUUUGUUACGAACGCGCGUCUUAAUUACAACGACGAAAAUGUAUGAUAAUUUUUCUUUUCUAAUAAGAUACAGGUGGGUAUUAUAGGUAUGUGUAUGUGUGUAGGUAUUAUAUCUCUGUCAAUCAAUUUGUAUUUGGUUAUUUUUAAUUCUCGCGUACAUUCAAUCAAACCUGUUAUUAGACGUGAUGCCUAUAUUAUUAUAAUAUAAAUUAUAAUACGUUAAGGAUUAUAAGACAAAAUAUAAUAUCCCGCUGUAUUAUAUUAUAAUCGUUAACUUUAUUAUUAUUAUUUUUUUUCUUCCAUACACGAUCGACGGUCAUGACACGUGUAUACAUACCUACGACACGAUGACGUAUUUCGAAUUUUUUGACGGGUGAAAAAUCUGAGGAAACGGCGUUUUAUUAGAUUCCAACGUAAUAACCGAGCCAGCGCAGUUCGUACAGUGGCGCGGACAUCGUUACAAUGUUGGCGUGUAAACGUGAUUUGCCGCUCGAGGCCAAUCGCGUAAACAUCAUUCCGAGAUAAUAUUAUGAAUUAUGGUAAUGCGAAAAACUGAAAUUUCGGGUAUUAUCCGCGAUAAAUAAUACUUAUUUACACGUUGACCUGUUUGAUUUUCGCCGAACGUUUAUGUUUUUUUUUUUUUACCGUAUACAUUACACCCGUAUGCUUAUGCAGUAUAAUAAUGGUAUGUUAUAGUCGCGCGAAAAUCCCGGCGUACCCGGCGUGUUUUUUCUCAACGUGGUUUUCGCCGGCGUAACACGAACCUUUUCACACUAUCUCGAAUCGGCGGUGAUGGUGGUGGUGGGGGCGGGGUGGUACAAGAAGAAAAUAAAUACGAAAUUUCCUACACGGAGUAACGUGUAGUGUUUGAAGCAACAACGACCAUUUUAUCCGUAAACGAGCGUUCGAUUUGGAUUACGAGCGUACCGUGGAGUCUUAGCAGUUUUACCACGAGACGCGACGGUUUAUACUGUCGCGAGGGAAAUUCGUCGGGUGAAAACGGAUCGCGCAUUGCGGGUUCUCGCGCAGAAAAUCGUUUUCGCCGGAACGCUUCCGGACCGGCACGCCGCGGUACGACACGAAUACGGUUUUCGGCGUUGCGCUCGGCACGUCACUGCGAUAAUAUUUCAUCCGGGCCCGCGCAUCACUCGGGGGAAUCGCACCGAUGCGACGACGGCCGCGACGUUUUUGUCCCGAUCGAUACGCGACGACGGCGGCCGCGGCAACUGCGCGAUAAUAACGAUAACGAUAACGACAACGACAAUAAUCGCGUAAUCGUUAUCAUAACAAUUACGGCGAUACCGAGUAUACGAGGGAUCCUCCCGGCGGCGGCGCGGUGUUUUAUUUCUUUUGUCCGGCGUUACAAAAUUUUCCAGCCGUUACGACCCGCGGGUAAAUCGUGUGCCGUACAACGUACGUGUAUGCACACACGCGCUCGUACCUGUAUAAUAAUAAUGAUAAUAUUAUUAUUAUUAUUAUUAUACUAUACGGACACAGAGCCGUGUGUACGGGUAUAUUAUAUACAGGUACCACGGUUAUCAACGUCUAUACACGUAUUAUGUGCAUACCGCGACCGUGGUAACAUUGUGUGUGUAUAUAUAUAUAUAUAUACAUUCGGUUUCAUGGCGCGCAUCACACACCGCGACGGCGAAGGCCAAUCGGCGGUACUAUCGCCGCCGUUGUAUAAUUUAUAUCGGCCGGUACCGGAGACGGAUUAUUAUUAUGAUCGUUAUUAUUAUUAUUAUUAUUAUUAUUAGUGUUCGCUAUGCGUUUCCCAGAGUCAAUAAUUUUCGUGUUUCUUUUUCGUCGUCCCUCGCGCGUUUAUAAUAAUACGAUUUUUUUCGUAUAUAUAUAUGUAUAAAGUCGUCACGGCAACUCUUCCCUCCCCCCACCUCCCCAGAACUACCGACCCGUGGCCGGUCGGGGGAGGUGUGGUAUUUCGGGGGGAGGGGAGGGGGGGACGGCGACGGCGUUCGAGUCUCCGCGGGAUAAUUCAUAAUGGUCGACCGGGGGCGCGGUGGUUCAACGGCGUUGCGUUCCAUUUUGUUGUACAAAUAAUAAUACACACAUACACACACACACACAAUGCGUGUCGUACAACGUUAUAGGUAUCAUAUUAUUAUAUUAUACGUUUUUUUUUUUUUUUUUUUUUUUUUUUUUUUUCUUACUAUUAUUAUAUUUUUUUUAGUUAACCGUCGGGGGCAGACGCGGCCAUGUUUCGCGUCGUCAAAGGACUCGUAGCCGAUGCCGGCCGACCGGUUGAUUAAGGCGUCGUUCGCGCUUGACACCCCCCCCCCCCACCGUCCACUCAGUCAUACAUCACCCACCCCCACCACCACCACUCGGUCGCUAAUUAAUCACCAGAACAAUUUGACGAAAAAAAAAAAAAAACAAAAUAAUAAUAAUAAAACCCUAUUACGGACAACAAUAAAAUAUUAUUGUUAUUAUUAUUAUUAUUGUGUAUACGCGCGAUACAUGCGCGCGCGAAGAUAUCGGUCAUAAAGUCGUCUCACCGCCGUCCGUUUGUCGGUAACCGUGUAAUAACCGUGGUAGUAUAACCGCGCGUUUGCCGCACGUCGUCGCCGCCGCCACCACCCGGACAACGUAAUACAUAUGCAUAAUUUUUUUUUCGGUCGCAACGGACGACAUGUCCGGUCACAAAUAAUAACGAUAAUAAUUGUGACCGGGUCGCGUCGACGGGUAGGUUAGGUACAAUAAUAAUAAUGUUAUUUUCGACGGCGCAUUACCAUAAUCUCGUGACACGACUCCGCCGCCGCCGCCGCCGCCGCCGCCACUCUUUUGAACGCGAGAGGGCUCCCGUCGCCACAGCCGCCGCCGCCGCCGUUUGUACACGUCGGGUCGUGUAAUUUAUAGCCGCCGGAGUUUCGAAAAUUCUCGGCCGGUGCGCGCCGGCAAUCGUAUACGCAAUAUCCGUCGGCGGCGCGGCGAUAAUUAGUCAUCACGUUACGACGCUUACUAUUAUUUUUAAUUUUCGACGAUUUUUCUUUUUCUUUUCUCGAAAAUUAUUACACCGGCCAUUUUACACCCCCUCUAGAUACGCCAUGGCAUUGUGCGCGGCGUACGAGCGCACGCAUAAAACGACUGUACGGACGGUACCCGUCGUAUUUGACCGCGUACGGACAAUGGAAACACGGAGAAAAUACUCGGCUCGGCCGAAAAAGCGGUUCGCUGGACAGCGGGUCUUAUUCUGACGGCGUUCGUUAGGCGAACACGUUGCGUCCGUGAGUUCGUUGCACGGCCAGCGCAGCGGGCGGACAGCGUUUUCGUUAGCCGACCCGACCGUUCGUGGGACGCGGCAUAUCUUCUGCUUGUAUCCAAAAGCUCGUCCGUAGCUCCGCUCGAUUAAAGUAAAACACCGGCCGCCUAUUUUCGCGUAUUAUACGGUGCGCCCGCGUGAAAAUCUCCGGUAACAAUCAAACAUAUUGAGAUUUCGCCGGUACGCAGCGCGUAUUGUUUCUGUCGCGCGUCGUUUGUCGCGGUGUCGGGGCGAUCCCCCCACCCCUCCACCCCCGUACCUGAUUCGUUCGCACGUUGCCGUCACUCGGCGCGUUUCGAAAACCCCGAAAAAACGUCACUACGUCCCGUACCGGCCCGCGGGAACACGUCGAAUUCCGCGUGAUACAUCAUUUCGUAUUGUCCGUCCGAUAAUUAUGCGCGUACACCGUGUCCGACGACGAUUAAUCGUACACGAGUACCCACGGAUAUUGCGCGUUGCAGUCGCAGUCGAUUGUCGUCGCCCGCGCGCAGGUGAUCCCGACGACAAUACAGCGCGUCGGUACGCGCCGAUCCGCGGGGCCGAGUACCGUUUUCGAGGCGCGCGAAAAGACCAGCGGUAUAAGAAAAAAAAAAAAAAAAAAAAAAGAGCAGAAGAAAAAUGCGUUAUUGACACGGCCGCCGUGAUUUAUAUUCGCAUAAUACGCGCGGUGGAUGCGUUGCCCAUUAUUGUGCGCCGCGUACGACGAGUCGCGUUCGUAACGGAUAUGUAAUGUUAUUAUUGUAUUGUGUUGCAUUAUGCCGUCGUCGUCGUCGUCGCGUUCCAGCCGAAUCGUUUCCACCCGAGUGAGAAUCGGCGCGCGCGGCCGACGAGACGAGCGUGUAUUGUACGCGUCGUUCGUAUCAUCCGUUUUCGUAUUCCAUUCGAUUGUCCGCGAUUUUUAUUAUUAUUAUUAUUAUUAUUAUUUUUUUUUUUUUUUGCCGAACACCGACAAAAUAAUAAUAUAAACGUUAUGCGCGCCUCUUUUCGCCGUCCGUCCGGUGGAAGCGCACAUGGCUGACGUACGGAACUGCAUCGGCCGAGGAAUACCGCCGCUGCUGCACCGUUCGCAUACGAGCGUGCGUCGCGCGUGAUUCCGAACCCUAACUCGGCUGGCGCACGGCAUCCAGACGGACGAUCCCGUUACGCCGCCGCCGCGCUUCGACCCGUCCGGCGGCGUAACUGGAACUAGAACCGCGGCGAAAUAUUCUGUAAAGGCGCCGUUCCGAUAAGCGGCAGAUAAAAAAAAAAAAAAAGGUCAUUCAAAAAGAGCCACGCCCGUGUCCAACAAUACCUCGGUCAAGGUCUCUGCCGAGCCCCUCGACAGUUGUGGGCCCGCGGCGUUUGCCCGCCUUGCCCACACCAAGCAUUUACGCUACUGUCCCCGCCACAAACGAUACCGAUACGCGUAAAAAAUAAAAUACGUUCUGAAAACCGAAAAAAUAUAUGCCCUGAAAACGAUCAAAAUAUCCUAUUGAAAACAAAAAAAAAAAGUUUUAAAUUUUUAAUCUAUUUUUAUCUAUUUGAAUAUUUUUCAAACAGCGUAGCCGGGUUUUCUUUUCGUUGUUUUCCUUUAAUUAUUUAUUUGUAAACGCGUUGGAACAACUGAUUUUGAUACGUUCACAAACUAUUUGUGUUAUUUUCAGCCUGCUGGUAGAUUCACAAGCACAUAUCUAUGUUAUUCCGAAUUAAAUAAUGGUUCGCUGUUAAAGCAACCGACGGUGCUCUGUUUGUCAUCGGAUAAUUGGGAGUGACAGUCUCGUGGAUCUCGGUCAAAUGCAGUACCUCGAUCAGAUACGCGUCGUCUCUGAAAACGACACAUUUAUUACGCCACACCGGGGUCUAUUCGGUACAGCCAUCUUAGAGGUACUUCCCGUUUCGGUUGACUCGGACAAGUAUCUCCAAAAUAUAACAUUCGAACGUAUCAAAAUAUAGCUAUCAUUUAAAAUCGUUUGUACAGUUUGUUGUAACUGGUAUUCAAAUGUUAUUGCGCAGUUAUUGUUACAAGAUUGUGCACUAAAUCAAUUGCGGUUCGGAAAUACACCGCGGUGACUGCGACGUGCCGACGAUUAUUCAGUUCGAUUCUCGCGAAUAUAAUAUUUUCGCCUUGAUAUUAUAAGUUCUUGUGGGAACCGUUCGUUGCAGACAGAAUUCGUUUUUGUUCCAGUAUAGGUAAUACGUCUCUGGUGUGGCGAUUUAUCACGACGUGUUAUCCAUAGCGAACGCAAAGCAACGUGUCGGCGUCGGUUGGUACGCCUGCGGUGAAGAUUUAGCGGUAUAGUGAAAUGCAUUUUACAUGACGCAGUAUCAUACCUACAUAAUAAUAAUAUCGACAUUGCCGUAUACAAUAUAAAAACAAAACAAAAAAAAAAUAACGCACGUCUGUACGAGUAGUUUAUAGGACGACGUCGUCGUCUCGACUUACCGCUGCGGUCGAUAGAUCAAAAUAUCCGCGCAGUGUGCUGUACGGAUUUUUUAAACUCUGUAUACGCUCACCGGGAACAGGAAGCGCUCGGCAUAAAUAGUAAUAAAUUUACCGGCAACGGCCAAAGUCUCCUGCGAGGUUCUUCGUUGUGUGUGUGUUGUGCGCGGCAUACAGGUGAUUCGAAUAAAAUUAAAAAAAAAAUGAAGAAGUAGAAGCAUAGAGAAAACCGGUAAGGACGUUUAAGGAAAAUUUACGACUGCAGCAUGACGCGCAGACUGUAUACGCGUGUAUCGAGCGUCUACACAGUGAAGUUUUCUUCGCGGUUAGAAUAGAUAUCAUUAACUUUACAUAAAAAAAUAAUAAUGAUAAUAAUAAUGGCGCAUAUGUAUAUAUAUUUAUAAAACGUUCGACACAAGUUUCUGUAAAGUGCCGACGGGAAUGAAACGCGAAACUUGUGUAUGAAACGACGUAUUAAAGAUCGCAUUUGAGAUAAACCGUUGCGGCGUCCCUCGGGAUGCAUUCGUCCGCGCUUGUAUAUAAAUAUUACCGGAGUAUAUAUUAAUGAAAAAAAAAAAAAAAAAUCCUCGUUUUUCAUCGCCCUGCCGUGCGCGCUUCCGGUAAUUUACGACAAACUUUCGGACGGGUAUUGCUCUAAGCGCGCGCGAACUGUAUUACGGUAAUCCGGAAUAUUAAAAGCGCCGUUGCGAACGGUGCGCUUUUGCAUUAUCGUUUACCGCGAGGGCGGCGAGUGUAGGCGAUUUCAACUCGGCCGAAACGCGUAACAAUAUAUUAUUCCAAUCGCCGAGAGCCGCAGUAGUGUGUCUGUUUUUAUGAAUACAAAAUUGCCUAUGUAAAAAAAAAAAAAAAAUUACCCGCGAAAUCCGGUGACCCGGUCAAACGGUUUGUCGAUAUUCAAAUUACAUAUUAUGAUACUUGGCUAACUUACCCAAGAGAGUCGAUCGAGGACGGUAAAUCAUAAGUUUCGGAAGUACUCCGUCACUUGCCCGCCGCUGCGGUAAUAACUCGACAUGAUUAGACUAAGCAGCAAGUAACCGGGCCGAUUUUCGAUACAUUACAGUAUUAUAGUAGGUACGUGUGAGAAACGGAACGACGCAUAAUAAUAUUCGUACGGUUGAAAAAAAUCGAUAAAAUUAUACCGUAUGUUGAGAAAAAAAUAAAAACAUUAUUAUUGCACAUUGUAAACUACGUGUACGAGUGUAUUGCGUUAUUAUGUACAGCCGUACGGAUAAUCGCUUUAUUUUUAUUUGAUUUUUAUCUCUCUCCACUAGUUAUUAUGAUAAUAUAAUGCAGUUUGACGAUUAGUUCGGAAUUAAAUUGGUCCGGAUGAUUAUUAUAUUUAUAGGUAUAAUACGAGGUGGAAAAAAAAAAACCAGAAUACUCGAGUGGAAACUCGUUAUAUUGGACCGCGUCUCCGGGUGUUACUACACUAGACGAAUAAUAUUCGAUUGUAUAUUUUAAAAAAAAAUAAUAACGUACACGGCAUUUCGUAAAACACGUUCGUAUUUUUGUUUUUUUUUUUUUGUUCUUUUUACAUAUUUCGUCGUCUAUCACGCAAUAUUUUUCACGAUACUACUAUAUUGAAUUUCGGUCCGCGGCUAUUUUCGUGGCGGUGGGGGGGGAGAGGCAUUUUUCUUUUUCUUCUUUUCACAUCGGUCCCGCAGACUGCACGUAUAAAGGCGGGCGGCUGCGGUUACCCGUUACGGGUGUAGUGCAAAGUAUAAAGUCGAUCGUAAACCGGGCCGCGGACAGGUAGACAAUAACGUCUGCGGCGCGGUUUAGAGCUGGCGGCACCCCGUGCUACGGCGGCUGCGGCGGCGGCUGCGACGGCGGCGGCGGCGGCGGCACUAGGAGGCCACCUGGGAGGCGAACAGGCCGGCCGACCUUCGACGGGCAGAGCGGACCGCCGCCAUCGCACCCGAGAGUUGACGUCUUCAUCGGCACCCAUCGGGCGCGCGCUGCCGCCCGAUCAUUAUAUUAUUAUUAUUAUUGUUAUUAUUACGGAGACCCGAAACCGCCGCCGCCGCCCGGGUUAUCUCACCGCGUACGCGCAACAACAACAACAAUAAAUAAACGUUACUAUUGCACCUCGGCUGUAACGCGUGCAGUGCGUCGCGGCGUCUUGUACCUGUGUGCGUGUGUAUAUAAGGAAAAAAAAAAAAACAACAAAAAUAUAAUCGCCGCCGUCGUCGGCGGCUGUGGUACGGCGUACAAAGCGAGGAUUCACACCGCGGCGUGUUCGGGUGUUUUCGCCGCCGCGUUAUUAUUGUUAACGAGAUUGAUAUUAUGUUCGCCGGCGUUUAACAACAUCGGACGUUUUCGUCCUUGUAUCGCGUAUUUAACGCGUUUAUUAUUCGUGCGUACCGACUGUAAACAAAACAGAAAAAAAAAAAAUAGAAAAAAAAGAAACCCCCCGCCAAGAGCUCUGUGGCGUGAUGUGACGAAUCGUCUUUACCGUCAAGUGUUUUGCGGCGUUUCGCCAAUUGAAAAGCGUUUGAAAACUCAAUCCGAGUUCACCACUACUGGAACAGACAAUUGAUCAUCGUUAAAUAACGCGUGGGUGUGGCGUUAUUUUCUCAGAGUCGACUCUUGUACCUGAACCCAGAAAAAAUGAAUGUUAUUAGUUUAGUUCCAAUACUGAUAAUGACGUAACGUACAAUGCGAUAACAAGCGUUGUACGUAUUUUAUAUUUAUUGUUUGUCUGUUGUAAGACUCGGAGGGCUUCUGGGGACCAGCCCUUUGUAAUUUUUACCAAAACAAUUUCUGGAUAUCCGGGAUAUCUACGCGCGGUUCGACAUUUUUGUUCCGUCAUUUUAAUUUGCAAGGUAUAGCGAAGUCGCAAAACGAUGACCAUUAAUAACCGUAAACAUUGUAGGUAUCAUUGCGGUGGCUGUGUUAACAAUUCUAAUGACAUUCGUCACUGACGUCGUAUGCGAACUGUCGAUAGCGGAAAUGUUUGUCUUUGAGCACUUAGCUUUCAAGCCAUCGUCAAGGGUUUCGGAAAACCUCGCGUACGCCACUGAAUACAACCCUAGACCCGUCGAGCCGCCAUUGUAUCCAUAUCACGUACAGCAAUCGCUACGCCUUAACGGCAGUUUGGGGGCCAUUGACAACAGUAUAAUAACAAAAUAAUAAACAGACAGUCAGAAACGAACAAAUAAUAUUAUAAUGUCACACGGCGCGUUAAGUUAAUUAUGCGACGGCAACGGCGUUCCGCGUCCGAAUUAUCGCGAUAAUUAAAAUUAAUAUUAUUCCCCGAGACGAAGCGGCGGGAUACGGUUUUUUUUUUGUGUUCUCUCGGAUACGUCGGACUAAUUACGGCCGCCGCGCCGCGCAGUUUCGACCCAGUUGUGUCUCCGACCGCGGCACCACCGGGCGGACGGGCGAAAACGAUAAAAAUGCGCGGCGGAAAAAAAAAAAAAAAAACCCGCCCCCCCUCCUCCGAACGGUCCCCGGCCGAGACGACGACGUUGUUACAAUAACAAUAAUUAUGUCGAGGCGGUUUUUUUUUUCUUCUUCUUCUUCUUCUCGCAUAUUCCGAUGACCGGGUGGCGGGAGAACGUUAAUAAACCGGCCGGACGCACGGCUAUUGUCAAUGUCCUUUUCGGGCAACACAAUGACACGGGAGCGCGGGGCGAGCUGAUUAUUUCGCCGGUUAAUUAGCGUGCGCGUGCGCAUGGCGGAACCGGUGGCGGCGCAGCGAGUCGCGCCGAAGACGGCGACUGCACAUACGCGCGUGCAAUAAUACGCGCCGCGACACAAUACCGUCUCUUCUGUUUCUGGGCCGUCUGCGGAAUCCGGAAAUUUGCAUUCGCCAAUUAAACCGCGCGCGUGCCCAUACAUACUGUGCGGAUAAUAAUAAUAAAAAUAUAUUACGGAAAAAGCGAAGGAAGAAAAAAAAAAUCGCUCACUCUAUCCGGCGGGUUUGUGUCUCGUCGCGUCCGCGGACGAGGAGUGGGCGAGAGCGCGGGGGAGAGCGGCGGUCGGUGAACGGGCGAGGAAAAAAAAACCUUUAUUGUAGAAAACCCUCCGCCCCACCGUCAGUACGUUUUAUAAUAACAAUUAUAGAGACGCGCGCGCGGCGGCGGCGGCGGCGGCCAAAACGACGGGAUUAAAAUAAUCCGCCGCGGCUCGUGACGCCGCUGUUAACGGGCUCCUCUCCCGGUGUUUCGUCCGACCCGAGUUACGCUGCGCUUACGCGCGCAUUUUCCUUUGUGCGACGACGUAAUUAUCGUCGGACUGAUCUCCGUCGCCGGGGCGAUUCUUCUCCCGCACGUCUGCGGGAUAUGAACGAAAACGUAACAUAGGGGACUCCGUGCGGACAAUAUUGUGCUCGCGGUGUAGACGGUGCUCCCGCAGCGCACGUUCCGGUCAAAACGAACGCAGCGCGCGAUCGACGGGAGAUGCACGCCGUGUAGAUUCCACGGAGGAAGAGCACGCGGUGUCACGCGUGAGCCGACCCGUUGACGCCGGACGUGUUGGCCCGGUAACUGCGGUAACACGAAUGUCAGUGUCCCAUCUCACACAAGUAGUCGCCGUAGACCCGAAACGAACGGGCGAACAAUCGCGACCGGUUCAGAUAAAGUCGGAGCGGGAAUCGAAGUACCGGAAUUUUUCGAAACGGGCGGAAUUUAGCGGGAUCCGUCGGCACCCGAAUAGCGCUGAGGUCACGUUGGGUUCAACAAUUACAGUUCCAUAAUCCGGAUUCUCGGAUCCAAUCCGUCGGUCCGGACUUCGGGUCCGAUCCGUCGAUCUCGAUUUCAGAUUGCUGCACUGUUUUUUAGACAAACUCUUAUUUUUUGUUAUUAUCAAUAGUUUCCUCAACUAUUAUUGUAUCUUAAUAGUCUAAGCAAUAUUAUUGACGGAUACAAUUUUAGAUUUCUAUUGUAUACCUUAAUACAUUACCCAAUAUAAUUGAAAUUGGUUUUGGUGAUUAUUAUAAUACUCGUUUUCCACACAACGUGUUAUAACAUAAUCCGUAUAUUCGGGUCGGCGGUAUUCAUAAUCCGGAUUUAAAGUAACAGUCCGGAUUAAACGGAUUGCAACGUUUGUUGUUUCGAUCGAUCCGGACUUGGUGCUCGACACUAGUAUCCAGUCUAACGUAGUAUUGUGUCCGUAGUGCGGACGAAGAGGACGGCUCGCUUUGCUCUCCAAUACUCGAAUGGCGAGCCAAUGUCAGAUUUUCAAUCGAAAUCAAACUCCGAUUUGAAAACGUUUAUUUUACGAGGUCACACGAACGUUUCAGGAACCAAUGAUUAUCUUCCCGAUUUAUUCGCGUCCCCGUGCGCUGUGACCGAAACUCAUAUGUACAUUAUAUAUCAUUCGUCCAAUAUCAAGAUACUGUUUGUUAUAUAUACAUAUAUAUAUAGCCAAUAGGGUGUAUUGGAAAAAAAAAGAGAGAGUAGAUUCCGGUAGACGUUCGUUCCUCGGAGCUAUGCGUGUGUUUCGUUUUAUUCGCUUGAAUAGAUAUAAAUCUUAACGAAUAAAAUACGAUUCCGGAUUCCGAAUGGGAGCGCCUACACAAUAUACACGAGCCCUGCAUGUUGAUAACCCCGAUCAACACAACGUCUUACACGUUCAUUGUCUAGGAAUGUAUUACGUUUUUUCGAAAUUCGUUUUUUUUUUAUUAUUAUUUAGAUCGUUUAAGAAACUUCUCGCGAGCAGCUCCGUACCGUUAUUUUUUUCACCCUUAUUUUUAGAGGCGAGACCACUACACCGCGCCGUCAUAAAAAUGAUAUUCCUAGUAUAGGUUGCAAUUUGAAAAUAAAAAGAGGAAAGUGCUCUUUACGUUAUGUCUAAUCACCCUGUACAGCAGCGCCGGCAGUUAGUAACUUUAAACGUAAUUAGUGGGUUUAAAUCCGGAAAAACUUUUUCAAUUUUUCGCGUCAGAGUUUUGAUACACCAUACUCAUGACGUUUUUGAUUGGGGAGCUUGACGUCUGGUCGAAAACUUGUUUAUCGCAGACGUAAAAAAUAAAAUUAAAAAAAAAGCACCACGCAUAAUAUAGUAAAAACAUGACGGUAUAUUAUUAUUCCUCGUUCAGUGCGCUCAGAAUCUAUAAAAAGCAAAUCUGUGUUCUACCAUUCGUGUUCGAUAUUGUACGGUUAAACAAAAAUAAAACACGAAACUGAUCCCCGUUUAUCAUUAUUAUGAUGAAAUCGAGCAUGAUAAUAGAGGAACACGGGGUACGUAAUGAACACCCGAGGUAAUAAUGAGACGGCCGAUUAUCUGAACACAUUUGGCAACACUAGAAAAACGAACGCCAGUGGCGUGCCUUAGGAUACGCCGUUGACAUCGCUGUACACUCUCGAUGUUAUUUUUUCUAAACCCAAAUAAAUUCGAAAAUCAACUAAACCGUUCCGUUUGAUUGUUUCGUUUCGAUCACAGCCCGAGAAAAAAUGGUUUCUGUUUAUUAUGUAAUUAUUUGUCUGCAAAACUUUUUGCUUCUUUCUCCUUGGUGCUUAAUGCGUUGAUGAUUUAUACGCGUUUCUAACCGUCGAAAAAACACUGGCUAUACUUUAGCGGUCGAACAACAGUUUUUAUUAUUAUUAUUAUUAUUAUUAUUAUUAUAAAUCAUCGAAAUAAAAAGUUGAGAUUUUUAUUUAUUUUUUUUUUGUAUCUUAAUUUAUUCUGUCGUCCCCGAACGCGUUUGUAUAGUGAUUUCUUUAUUUCUUUUAUUUUUCUUUUUGUUUUAAUUGAAAUAAUGAAUGGAAUAUUCGGUAAUUUGGACCCGUGCCCAAAACGUAAAUUAGGUAUAUUAUAAUAUAUAUUUUAUAGCCGAGAAUAACAAAUUUGAUAAAAAAAAAAAAAAUUAACGUCUUGUAUAUCGGGAAUAACUCGAGACCAUAUUAUUAUCUUUAUUAUAAUAUAUUUGUGGCACGUAAUUACUACUAUUUUUUUUUUUUUUUUUCAUUUUGGCAAUCGGUCGUACCGUAUUAUGCGUUAUCAUAUUAACGCGAAAACCAGUAUUUUAUUUUUAGACUUCGUAUAAUAACGAUGUUUAAUUUCAUGUAUUGCUCAUUAUGCAUUUUGUUACGCACCCGUCCGUAUUGUAAUAAUAAUAAUAAUAAUAACACUGAACACUGCGGGUAUUGAAGCGCCGCGGUCGCUAAUAACCGCGUAUGUAAAAUGGUACGUACGCGUCGAAACCAAUACAUGACGACAAAAUUGUACACUUUUUUUACGAUCCCGGAGGAAAAUAACAAUCGUGUGCGAACAACGUGAACAACAAACCGAAUUUCGACGGUUUUCCGGGCGAUUAUGUUUUUAUUAUUAUUAUUGUUAUUGUUAUUGCACGGGGAGACGGCAGCAGGUGUUGUCGUAAUUUACGUUGUUACGUGCGCGCGUCUCGUUGUGGUCCUAUAAUUAAACCGCGCGCUUCUUCCACCGGUUGUUACAUUGGACUCGAGGAAAAAAUAGUAAAAAUUACCUGCCUACCUGCCGCUAAACACGAUAUCCAUUUCUAACGAUUAACAUCCUGUUCCGCUGUCGGUUUAAAACGACAGCGAUGGAAUCGUCGUUAUUGUAUACCUAAUUUCGUCGGCCCGACGGACGAAAAUGCGUCGUGAUCGGCAUAAAAAAAAAAAAAAAAAAAACAAAAAAAAAAUCCUUCAAUCUAGGGGGGUGGGGGAGGAAAUCCGUUUUCCGUUUUUUUUUCUGUUUGUUCGACAGACGGCGGCGGCGGCGGCGUGUUCGGUUUCUCAUUUGCUUCCAUUGCUCCGGAUCUGCUUUGUCUUAGACCUGUCGCGGUUUUUCAUCGACUCGCGUCUAUCGAAUUUAUGUUUUACAUCGAUAAAUUAUCAACUCUGAACGCGGCGAGGAAUGCUAAUUUAAUGGUUUUAUUAUGAUGUUUUUUUUUUUUUUUCUGUAUCUAUAAACAACUUUUCUAUUUCGUUCUAAUUGAACUUUCUUGUAUCAUUUAGUUGGUUUAUUGGGGAGGUUGAUUUUUAAUUUACUUUUUUUUUUCCUUUUUUUUUCGUAGUUUUCAUUGGCAAACGGGGAAAAAAACCUGACAAUACCAUAUCGUACACAUGUUUUGUUGAUUUCUGGGUUACCGCGGCAACAAUAUAAGAAAUACGACAAAUGAUAUACUCUGUUCAUAAUCAUUUUCGUUGGCGUGUACGGAUGUAACGUAUUAAAUAUCUUCCACUCCGAGUUCGACUUACCGGGUCUUUUAUCCGCUCAUCGGAUACAACAAUUGUGCGUAACGCUAUAUACGCGUUCGUUGGUGCAUACGGUGCAUCCUUUUCGUCGGGUCCCGGAUUCCCGCGACUAGCACUAGACGACUGUUGUACCGCAAUAUUAAUAAUAAUUAUAAUAGUCCAGAAAAAUAAAACACAAUAUCCGUCCUGAUGUCUGCCGGUCAAUGAGAGUUUUAAAACUGUGUACCUAAAACGGACGUAUCGAAAUGGAAAUUCGGCCAAAUCACCGAUAAUAAUGUAUCCCCCGUCCCGCGGGGUCGGUAAAAACGUGCACGAAAACGUUUCGUACCGUUUGUUUUUCAGCUGCGCCGAACCCCCCCCCGGCCCCGGCUACCGGACGACCGAUCGAAACGCGCCAGGGACCCGCGACUCGGACGCGCCCGUUCGCCUGUGACGCGCUCGCCACGCGUUCUGUUACGCCGGACGAACAGCGCGACGUUUCACUCGUAACGCCAUGUGCCGCUGUUGCCGGAUUACACGCGCGUGUAAUAAGCUACACGGGUGUGUUACGGGAUUCGGUUUAAAUUAGGCACGGUGUUGUUGUUAUUAUUUUUAUUAUUAUUAUUAUACGGCGUCGGUAAUAUAACUGCGGCAGACAGCGAGAAUCCGAAAAGAAACGUCCGCGUAAUAUUAUUACUGUUACACGAUAUUAUAAUAGCGAUUGCUGCUGCUGCUGCUGCUGCUGCCGCCGCCGUCGCCGUCCCCGCCGUACGGCCACGGGGGUAAACAGCAGGUGUUUGGGUGUCGGGCGCGAAGAAAAUAAAAUACGUUGUUAACCAUUAUAUUAUGUUAUUACGCACACGCGGUGAUACGUUUGUUAUUUUUUUUUUUUUAUAUUUUUCACGAGCCGGAGAGUGUGUUUAUUAUAAUUGAGUUGUUCGGCGCGCGCGCGCGCAGCACCGGCGUAUAGUGCGUUUCCACGAGAUUUAUCAUCUCGUAUUUUACCGACGCGUAAUUUACGCUGGGGGAUAGUAAGAAAAAAAAAAAUGGAAAAAUUACAAACGCGCGCGAAGAAGAAUUUUCGGGCGAAGAAUUUUUUUCACGCGGCAUUUUUUUUUUUUCGUAUUUCCACGUUGCGCUCGUGACGGGUCGGCGGCGGCGGCGGCGGCGAACGCGGUCCGCGAACGAUUAUGAAAAACCACGCGACCGCGAAACGCCGUUGUUUCGGUGCCGGUUGUGCACGGGCGCGCGUCGCUGUACAGGGUGCGCGACAUUUAUAUCGUUAUUAUUGUCGUCGUUGUCGUAUUGUGUCGCUCGACUACCGCUGGCCGCCCCGCGGUAUUAUACCGUACGUCUCCCGGGCGCGCGGGCGUGUGUUAUGCGUGUCCCGCGAUUGUGACCGUGACAGACGGGGCGCACAGGGACACAAUGCGUGAAGAGGAUGUGCCCGCGGUACACGUUUAACGACCGUCGUGUACGGCCGUGUUCCUUUUCGCAUACAUAUCAUUGUACAAAAAUAAUUGUACACCGUGCGUCCCGUCGACGGGACGCUGAUCGUCGGGAGGGGUUCGCGGUCGUGCGGAGACGGCCGUACGUCUCCGCACGACUGUACGGCGGUCGUCACCGCGGGACGUCUCCCCGCGAGACGCGCACAAGCGUUUGCUGCCGUCUGAGUAAGUUGCUAACAGGGGCCGCACAAUGGUACACGCCGCGUCGCGUUUUCUGGCGGCCCCCGUCGUCGUCGUCGUAAAUCCGAUUACACGCAUUGUCCGAACCGAUGUACCGCGGUUUUAUUGACCGAAAUCGUUCGCCGCGGCGGUUUUUCACCUUUUAUAUUAUUACAUUAUUCCCUUUCGGUCUCUUUCUCUCCCGACCGCGAAUCAUUCCGCGACGAUAGAGUCGAAGAAGGAAACAAUAAACCGCACAAUACCUCGCGCCCCCUUUGCGCCUCCUCCGGUUCCUUUUUGCUGUACAAUAACGGAUCGGUUCGCGUCUUCGCACCGCGGCACCGCGUUUAUUGCUCGACGGUCCGUACGAAAUUCGCCAUGGCAGCAGUAGUGCAGUGGCGAUGAUCGAGACCAGUCGCCUGGCGUCCGUCGCCGCCGCCACUACAGUCUCCGCAGUUCGAGGCGAUCAUCACCAGAGUCCGUCGCCUGUGCCGUUUCCGAUGUUAUUGUUUAUAUCCGUUUUGAAAAAACUUUCCGGUCUACAACAAAAUUCAAUACGCGACACAUGGCCGCUCAAAUUUAUGGUAAGUCCAACCGUUUCCCAUCGUGUUGAACGUUAGGUUUUAUUUGGAAUUUCCCGGUAGAACAAUACGCUCGAACGAUAUUGAAUAGCCGUCUCAGCACGUUAUGCCUGGGGGGGGGAGGGGCCGUACAGGAGACUUAAAUUCUCAAUCAAUCGCGACGGCACUACUAACAGUUAUUGAAACCGAAUACCAAAUUUCAAAACAUCGUGUACUGCAGUGUUUUAAUAAAACGUUUUUGUGUAUUAAGUCGAUCAAUUGAAAUGUCAAUUUUUUUCCCUCCCUUAUCAACCUUUAUAGACCCAGGUCUACAAAAUCCGACAAUUUACCGUUCUAAUCGAUCGGCGACGGCCUUUUCUUGUUGUGUUCCAAGACUUUUGGGCUUUUGUAUCAUCAACUUGUACAAUUAUUGACCCCAUAUUUAUGAGAACUACGAGGUCGUCCUGCAGUUCUAUUCCCCACAAUCUUGACAAUUCCCGACGUCUUGCUCAAAUCGCAUCCGUGUGAGCAUCCACGCAUUUUUCUUUAAUAGUAUUCUUAAAAUCUCUUCAUUUGUUUUGUUCUCUGUCUGACUUAUCGUAUGCGCGAAUUAUAUUUCGUUGAGCAGUGCAUCUCAAAAGCUUCUAAUUUUUUUUUUAUUUUCCGAUAUAAUUUUGUACGGCCCAUAGUGUCACGUACACGUUGCCGCGUUCCGAACAUGUGUUUUAACGUGCGUAUCUUCCGAGCAUCGAGACGUAUCGCCUUUAAAGUAAAUAUUUUAUUUUAUUUGUUUCUAUGAUGGCUGAUUUUUCUAAUCCCGCGCGUUAUUCGAUUUCCCGGACGCUCUUACGGUAAUCUAAUGAGAUAUCGAUCCAAAUACCAGUCCGUCGACCAUGUCACAAGUCUUUUCGAUCAACUACAUUAUUUAUGUACAUUGUAUACGUCGGGUUUUGUCUGCGGGUCUCUGGCGCGAUCCCUGGUCUUGGCGCAAUUAUAUUGUUUUCAUUCCUGACGUGUUCUGUUUCUAUUUAUUAUUUGUUACGCGCCUUUGGCGAAAAUAAUACGUUUUAUAUCGUUCAUCAGCACGCUUUUGAUCCGAUACACGUUUUCGUUUUCUUUAUUUAUAUAUAUAUUUAUUGCCCACUUGAAAAGUACGGUUGCUUAUUACUUAUAUGUAUGUAUACUUCAGAAUUUAAUUCGGAGCAAAUUAUCGAGUAUUUUAUUACGGGUAUAGGCACUCGGCCCGAUUAUAUUGUACCGUAUAGGUGUAUAUAAUUAUAAUACGCAUAACCUUUAUGAGAACCUAUCCGUUCCCCCCCCCUCCUGAUCCAUUAAACUGCCCACAUUUGGAUUGUCGAUUGAAUUAUUGUGUACCGUAUAUUAUUAUAAUAUUUAAAUGCGAACGCGCGCGGGGAAAUUAAAAAAAAAAAAACAAAAACAAAAUACCUACAUAAAAUUUUAUUACACCGGCUAAUAGAGUGAUAAUAAUAAAGGUCUGACGAUAAAUCUGUCACGCGCGCGUAUAUGAUAAUUCUUACCCGGCUGAAUAUGUAUUUAUCGAAAUCUAAUUUAAACGCGCGUAUACGUUAUUUAUAUUUUAUUAUGUUUGUUAAUGUACGAGUAGCGCGCGCGCGUUUCCGUCGGCAAUAUAAUUUGAUAGAGAGAGAAGAAAAAAAAAUAUAUAUACGACAAAUAUACUUCGGAGAAAAAAAAAAAUUUCCCCGGCCCACUGUGCGCCCGACGCUUUACAAGCAAUAUAAAUUAUCGAACUUGUUUUUUUUUUUUUUUUUUUUACUUUUCCCCCGUCCGAAAACCGUCCGGGUUACCAUACUGUUAUUAUUAUUACACGGAACAGUCGCGGCUGUAUGUCGAAGAACGCGGGAGAGAAUCGGUUUUUCGAGGACCGCGAAACAAGGUCGCGUGACGGCCGCGCUAUACGACGACGUCCGUACGUAAUAAUGUUCACGGGAAAAUAUUGCGCUGCGCGGCUCGCGUUUCGUUUUUUUCUCCUCUACCUGUAUCAUUUUUUGGGUUUUUUUUUUUUCGUGUUUUCUUUUACCGCCGGAACGACCGGUCGAAUAAAUCACUGCAUUAUUUUCGUUCCCCGCGCUCUGGUGCCCGCUGAUUGCGCGCGCGCGGCUCCGGCGCGUAUUCGUACGGUUUUGUACAUACGCGCGCGCAGUACAAUAUUAUUAUGCCUCCAUUACGAGACGUGAUUUAUCGAACGGAAUAAUAGUGUAACAUAGGCACACACGCGCGCGCACACAUACACACACACACACACGAGCGAAGGUAUAUAUCUCACGAAAUUUCCCCCGCCUCGCGUAUAGACUUUUUUUUUUUUCUCUCUCUCUACUCCUCGACGGCAGAAUACAUAAUAAUAAUAAUAAUACGAUAGUUGUGUAGCGAGCGGCCGCGGCGCGCAAUCGCGUCUUAUUAUCUCUCGUUUAAUUUAUUAUUGUUUAGAAAAAAAAAAAAAAAAAGUAAAACCAACCUUCUUUAAUUGGCGGAUCUCUCGUCACGCCGCCGCCGUUGCUCUCUCGAGUCACGGGCACCAAUUACGUGUAAAUAUUCGACGGUUAAUUGGUUCGUGUGCGUGCGCGCGCGCUCGCGCGUACACUUUUUACGGGCCGCGUGCGACGAGAAUAUCGUAACACCGUCGCGAUAGACGGCGAAAACGCGCGACGUUCCGAUUCCGCGGGGACAUUUCGGGGCGCCUGCUAUUUCGACGUCGAUUCGUCGGCGGCCAACCAAUAAGCGCCGCGGUGGAAAUUCUUUUCGCCGAUCGUUUUUGUGCGUGGUACAAUGAUACGCGAUUCGCAUUCGUGCAUUUCCAUCUCUGCCGCUGUUGUUUACCCCUCGUUUUCCAUUCGAUUAUAAUAAUACGCGGUACUAAUAUUGCAACAUUAUUGAAUACAAACCGAUACGUUUUAUUAUUGUCGUUAUUAUUUACAAUAAAUAACAAUUUUUAAUUUUCGACGGCCGCGUCAAAACAACAGCGCCGAAAAGUCAUAUUAACACGUCUAAAACAAAUAAUGGACAACGGCGUCGGCAUUGGCCCGUCUCGUACCGGAGCGUCGUUCUACAUUUUCUUGUCACGGGCCGCAUGACGGCAGUCACGUAUCGUGUACGAUGUAACUCUUACCGUGUAAACGCCUAAUCGAUUUAAUAAUUUUCGCGCACGUUGUUAUUUCGAACACUUUUGUAUUCGUUUCGUUGCGAUCUGUACCGCCGCGUUUUACCGAGCCCCGCGCACUAUGUGCACGGUUCUAACCGGUAUCGCGCGGACGACGAUAGACGGACGAAAGAAAAUAAAUCGCCCAACCCCUCCGGGGAGUAGACGGGGAGGAGCGGUGGUCGUGGCGGUGGCGGGGCGAACGAAGAUGCGCGCGAUAGUCGUACGACUAUCGUACAGUGUUGUUAUUGCGAUACGUAUCGCGUGCGCGAUAUAAUAAUAUCGACGGCUGGCGGGCGGGAUGGAUGGAUGGAGGGGGGGGGGCGAUGAGAACCGCCGGACUCGACGGCGGCGGCAAAGUUAAUGAUGACAUUACCGCGCGCCGAGUCGUGACCGUACGAUACAGAGGAAUAAUAUUACCGCAUCUCUCGUAUGCGUACAAUAAUAAUAAUAAUAAUAUUAUUAUUAUACGUACGGUACGGCGUAUAUUAUAGAGGCGGUUCGGGGCCGAACCGAUACUCUUGUCCGUCCGUCCGUCCGUCCGUACGCACGUACAUCGCUCCGGUGCAGCUGCAACGAUUCGUGGCGGAAUGGCCCCGCCGCCGGUCUACUGAGAUUGCCGUAAUAUACCUACGUGUUCCUUUCAACGUUGUAACACCAAUUUUCUCGUUUAAUAUAACCGCGCGCGCGCGCGCGCGCCCUGCACACGAUCUCUUCAUCUCCUAUCGCGUCCGCGUGCGCGCAGGUAUACGCGUUACGGUGUACACAGCGUCUAUGUUACGCGCGUGCGUGCGCGCGCGUGUGUCGGCGUACACGCCGCGAACGGCGGGAGGGGGCGGAUAGGAGACUGCGCGGGGAGGAGUCGCGUCGCGUAUUAUUAUUAUACGUGUGUACAUUUUUUUUUUUUUUUAAUAUUUUUAUUAUUUUUUUUUUUACGCGUGUAAGGUGUAGUGUAUACGAUCCCGUACGCGUACAUAUACGUGUAUUAUAUUAUAUACACGAACAAAAGGUCGCCUCCGGCCGUAUACGGUACACGGUGUACGGAGCCGCCGCCGCCGCCACUACCGUCAUCAGCUAGCGGCGGCGGCGGCGGCGGACGGACGGUCGGGCGACGCGCGGGACGAUGAAGACAUUAAAAAACCAUCAGACCGCGAAGCCGAGCACCGAAAAUCCGUUUUUAUCGGGUUGAUUACACAAACACAAUAUAAAAAUCGUAUCGAGGAACUGCGGCCGCGGCGGCGGCGUAAUUACUUGUUUGGUGUGUUUAUACCCCCGUCGUACGUAUACACCGCGCGCACGAUAUUAUUAUUUAUAUAUAAUAGUGAUAAUAAAAAUAUAAAUAUAUACGGCGAGUUACACCGCGUGAAUACCGCCGAUUCCGUAUGUUGCGCUGUGAUGUUAUUAUUAUUAUGUACCCGCCGAGAAAAGUGUUUACGGAAGCGUAACUCCGAACGCGUUAUUAUGUGCGUCUGCGGUGCCCGAUAUUUUUUUUCGUCGGUCGGGGGAAGGGGGUCUUUUAAGCCUACCAAAUCCGACCCGACGCAGGUAAACCGGCAGCUACCGGCAACAUUGUUUACGGCACUGUACACACAGAGAAGAAUAUCUGGUCGCAGCGCACUCGAAACGGACAUUUUUCUCGAGUGUACCCGCCCCGCGUGUGACGCGUAUACCACGUGUAUAUGGGUCGCGCGCAUAGGUUAGACAUGAGCCACGGCGGCCAGCUGCCGACGUGCGGUUUCGGGGUGCUCUCGUUUUUUUUUUUUGUUUUUUUUUUCCGAUUCUCGAUCCCCGUUCCUUUUUUUUGCCCGUCCCGCGUUUACCCUCAAUUAUUGGGUUUAGGCGCGCGCGGCCGUCCUUCAGCACUCGCACGUUCGAAUGAUCAUUACGAUACGCGCCGGGGCUGGAAAACGCGCCGAUGUUUUCGUUUCUCUAUUCGCGCGCGCCGUUCGCCGUUCAAUUAUCGCGUGAUUAUUGUUGUUGUUGUUGUUGUUGUUUUCGGUACCUGUUGUGCUACCGCCGCCGACGUCUUCCCUCCGCCGAUUUUAGGCUUACGGCAUGGCGCAUCAUUACGAUUCUUAUCAUUCCGCGGACUCUUUCGCGUACCCUCCGAGGCCGGCGGCGGAACAAUCAUUCCGAAGAAAAAAUCGGUCGAAAUCGAUUGCAUUAUUAUCGGACGCGCUCUCGCGGCAACAGAAACGCGGUUGACGCGUCGCCGUCGCUGUUUUCCGGCAAUAAUACUUCCGGUGUUUCCGUUGACAGUUAUUCGAUCGGCACGCAGCACUCGCGACCGCAAAAUGACCGUAGUAACCGUAAACGCCGCGACUACCAGAUUCUAAGUAGCAGCCACUUUUGUUCUCCCCCCCCCCGCGAAAAUCCUGUUUUAUCGCGAACGCGCGUGAUAUUUACACCUAUAAUCGUUGUUAUUGUUCGCUGGGCGCAAUCGUCCGCGACGAACUAUCGUGUCGCACUCGUUUACAGAUUCGCCGAAUUCCGCAGACCUUUUGUUUUUGUUUUACCGCCCCCCCCCCCCCCCGCGACAAACGACAAAAAUCGCCGCGUUUUUCGCUUUCGAGAAGUAUAAUUAUUACGGCGCGUACAUUUCGUCGAUGUUCAAAAAUGACGAAAUACUUUCUGUUUUUUUUCCCUUUUUUUCUUCCACCGUACCAGCACUCUUUGUUUGUUUUUUUUUUCUACGGCCAAUCAAUUUCGCCUCCGGUCGACGCCGAACGCCAAAAGCCCUGUGCAGCGCGAAUCCCCCUAUCCCUUGUUCUUUUCGAAGAAAACCCUCUAGUCGCGAACGAUUCGCGCGCGCCGCGGCGUGUAUAUCCCGGUCGAAAAACGCGCGGCGGCGGGAACACGUGCGAAUGGCCGCGAUUUGUGUAAUAUAGCCCCGAGGCACCUCUUUCGUAUACAAUAUAAUUAUACCGAACCGUUUGUUCGUGUUUACCGCGGUUACCGCCAUUUUGUUUUCGGUGUUUUUUUUUUUUUAUUUCCCCGUAAUUUAUGCCGCGACCCACAGCGGUAAUCUUGUUUAAUAAUAAUAAUAAUAAGGUAUUCCAGUCGAACACAAUGUGUGCGUGUGAGAGAGCGUGUUGCCGUUGCCGUAAUCGAAACCCGCGGCUCGUUAAAUUGUAAGGUUCUGCGGAUGCCGUGCUAAUGACGGGCGCGUUUUCAAAGCAAUAACACUAUUUAUGUAUUCACAAACGGGAGCGCUGUUUGAUCAGCGGGCACAUAUUAAUUAACAAAGCUAUUACUUUAUAACAUUUUAAAAAUACGCGCUCGAUCGACUAUCGAAAUCAUCGUUUUUGAACGGAACCCGGAAUGACGCGCGGACGCUCGCGGGCGGUACCGCGAAUUGAGUGUCCCGCGAAGACGUAAUACUCGUUGCCUAUAUCUCCCGAGAUAGUAAACGCAAUCGAAUACUGAGUUUCUACUAUACUCGUCGAGAUAAACACCGAGGAUAUUUACGUUUGAACUGAAUUUCUAUUGUCUGAUAAAGUAAAAAAAAAAACAAAACAAAAACGUAAAAAAUAACUUUAUUUUAUUAUUUUUGAACAAUAUGAAAACAGCCGUUUUAUAGAGUUUAUUCUUCUACUAAACAUUUUGACGUUUCAGCCUGUUAUUUCCAUUAAACUCAUCGUGAUUUUUAAUAAACUGUUUAACAAGUUAAGUGAAGCGUACAGUCGAUUUUAGCCUUAAUAAUAAUAAUGUUACAUUAACUAUUAUUCCGAUUACCUAAAAUUGUGCAACAGGCCGUAAUCGCAUUUGCUAAUGGACUAUUAUUAUUAUUUUGGGUAAUGGUUAUUAUUAACGGGUCUGUACACUUUUUUUUCUCUGGACUUAAAAAAUCACGACUUCAAUAAAAAUAAAAAGUUAAAAUGUCAACGUUUUACGACAACAUAAAUAAUUUAAUUCGAAUAUAAAUAUUUGUAGUCCUUAUCCCCGCGAGUAAUAUAAAAACAGAAUUUUAUUACCCUUAUUAUCUCUGGAGAUAUAGCAACGGAUAUGCCUUUGUAGGACACUCUGUGUACUAUAAAUAUAUGAUGUGUUUUGAAUUUCUCAGAAAACCUUUUUUUUAUUCUUUCUGUUCGUAAAAAUGUUCUGAUUUUUUACCGUUUUUCGAAAAAAAAUGUAAGAAUCGGACAAAACGUGACGAUAUACAACAGUGACGCACACCGCACGGCGGGAAGUACAUGCGGCUGUUUAAAUUUUGAAUCGAAAUGUGCGAUAAUGUGCUCACCUACCGGAAUGUUGAAAAAUUUUUCUACUGAUCGAAUUCACCGUAUCAGUAAUCUAUCUAAAAUUGGCUGUCCUACUUACCCUUUCUUGAUUCAAAUGAAGAUAUGAGUUUUAUCUUUAUACAACUUUUAUAGAUUUUCGAUGUUAUUUAAAAAAAAUCAUUAUUAUGAUACGACCUAGAAAUAUUAUCAGUACGAGCCUGAAAAACUUAUCGAUUUUAUUUUCUACGAAUAAUUUAUGUUAUCAUGAAAAAAUAUGUUUUAGAUAUUGUAUCGAAUAAUUUAUACUGUUUUGUGGUAAACCGUAUAGCGAUUCGCACACGUAUAAUAUGUAGCUAUGUGUAUAUAUAUAUGUAUACAGGUAUCUCAAUUAGUUAAAAGAUAAUAUAACACGUGUUCGAGUAAUACACACAACAAAACAAAUAUAAUAAUAAUAAAAAAAAAAACCUAUGUUAAAUGUAUACAGGUACAAUUUACAUUUGUUUAAUUAACGGGCCGGUUAGUUCAUUGGCCAAGUAAUAUUUUUUUGAAAGUUGAAACAGUUUUUGGAUUAUCUAUUUUUAAAUAUAGUACACGCGGCAUCCUUCUUAUAUAAUUAAUAACAAACAACAUAUUCUUUAACCCUUCUGUCCUCGUAGUUUAAUUGGUCUUAUGAUUUAUGAAUUAUGAUUAUUCAAAUUUUUUUAGUAUAUUAAAGAAAAGAUGGGACAGUACGAAAUCUGAAAAUAGAUUUUAAACAAAUGUAUACCCGCCCCUGAUGUACUCCAUCAUGUAGUUUGAACUUAAAAUCUUUAUUUUAUUUUUUUUUUUUUUUAAUGCUAACGUGGUUUGAAAUUAUGUUAUGAACAAUUUUUAGUAAUCUCGUAUUGUUAGUCAUUAUUAUAACCUAAUUGUAUGAUAGUAGCAUAAGAGGUAUGAAGGCAGUAUAUAUAUUAAAGAGGUAAAGUGUAUUGAUUAACUGGCGACAUAUUUAUUUAUGCCUCGAAUUAUGUGAUAAAUGUGACGAUAAAUAAACAAUUUGAAAUUAAUUUAAUAACAAAAACACUGAUGAAACGUGCAGUCGGCUUGUAAGUCAAAACUGUAGCUCUUCACUCGUAAAAAAUUAGUGGUCUCACUUGGUGACGUCCUAUCGAGGUAUUUACAUUAUUCAAAUAUUUCAUGGGCGUUGAUCAAUAGAAUCGGACCUACUCUUGGUUAUAGCGGCCGCCAAGCUUCAGACAUAUUCAUAUUAUAAUAUAACUCUAUAUUAUAUAGUCAACUACAGUUGUUUUACGCGAUAUUGUAUCAGUGGUCACAUCAAAGUCGGUGCGGAACACAAUAAUAAUAUUACCUGUAUAUUAUAAAUCAUUACCUAUGCACAUAAAUAAAUGAUAAAUAACUCAUCGAAUAGAUUUUUAAUAACAACAAACGUUUUUAAUACGAAAAUCUAUCAAAUAUACUGAUAGGUUUUUAACAAUUUUUUUUUUUUUUAAACGAUAUUUUCACGAAAAUCGGUUUGUUUAUUGUAGCCCGCAGCCUGUACAUAUGCGUGCAACAUGAAUACUAUAAUAUUUAUAAUAAUAUAUUCACGCGCGGCGUUUGCCGGCCGAGGUGGAGAAGGCGAGUUUCUUAUUACUACUAUACCACUAUUACUACUACUACUACUACUACUCGCGCAUACUUGUAUAGUAAAUAAUAACGACAAUUUAAACGGCACUUAUUAUUAUUUAAGAAAUGCGCGUCGCUCGUUUUCUAAAUAGACAUUUCGACGAUUUAUAUACGUGGCCUCCGGGGUCUCGCGGAGAGUACAUUAUAUAAUAUCCGCGGGACUUCUUAGCAUAAUAAGUGUGCGUAGGCUAAAAAAAAAAAAAGACCGAGGGGUGGAGGAAAAAAAACCGCAAUGUGUUAAACACAAACAAUGGGACGUUGCGCGCGCUUAAUUUUUUUUAUUUAUUUAUAUUAUUUUUUUUUAAAUCAUGAUAAAUUGACCUUUUGUUUUGGUAUUUCGUGUUUGCGUGCGUGUGUAGGAAGAAGACGAUUAUCAGUGGUGGACCGAGGAGGACCUGUGGAAGUUUCCCCCGCCGCCUCCCCGUCCACCGUUCCUGGAGCCCCCCAUACCGGACGGCCUGACCACUUGCGACCUGUGCACAUGGGCCCUGCAACCUCAUCUGGAAGACGGUGAGUGUUUUUUUUAUUUUAUUUAUUUAUGAAUUUUUUUUAUUUUUUUUAAACGGCCAGCUAUUGUGUCGCCUCAUUGUUGUUAUUAUUAUUAUUAUUAUUAUUAUUUUAACGUUCUCUUUUGUGUUUUGUUUUAACCGAGUGUGCCCGGGCGGCCCGGCCCGUUCCCGUCGGUUUUUUCGCCUCGCCUCCCGCGCGCGACCGCCCGCCGCUCUCUGUAAAAUUCUUCUCGUUGCCUACCGCGCGUACACCUCUGCGUAAUAAUAACGUAAAGUGGACGACGUCGUCGCCGCCGCCGCCGCCGUCUCCUCGAGCUCCUUCGCUCGCGGUAAUGAUUUUUUCGUUUUUCACGCGUCUGAUCGCGAUCGAAAUACACGUUAAUAACAACAAUGAUAAAGAUUCCGUCCCGCGCGUCCCACCGCACGGUUACGGCGUUACAACACGCCCGCCGUAUGGCCGUUGACGCCGCGUGCGUGCAUGUACGCGUAAUAUACACGCGUACACGCUCACACACACGCACACACGCGCGCACACACAGACACACACGCGCGGGCAUUAUGUGCACAGUACUGUAACAAUGUCGUAGCGACGUCCGCGUCUCGUUCCCGCGGACGCGCCGGCACCUCCUCUUUAUUUUUAAUAUUAUUUUAUCGCCGUAACGAGACGCGGACCGCCGCGACGUCCUGGUCACGACGAACCGCCGUGGUGUUUCGCGCCGCGUUAUUGUAAUAUUCAUUUUUUCUCGCGGGCGCGCCCGCGGUCUCCCGCGUACGCCGCUAUCGGUACGCGCGCGCCCGAAACCGUCUCCGGCCGGGCCGCAGCUCUCUUCGGUCUGUACACGACACUACUAUUAUUAUUAUUAUAUAAUAUCAACCGGGUUAAAGUGCGUCCCGCGUAUAUUUACGUGCGCACACUGAAAUGUACGCGCGUUUAAGAGGGAGGGGGGGAGCGGGAAAUACGCCCAACAGGAAAUUGCUCGUUGGCCGCAGUCCAAUGCCGAUAAAUUAAACGACGGCAAUCGGCUCGUCUCGCCAAAGUUUUCAUUAUGUUUGUUGUUGCACUCCGCGCCGCCGCCGCCGCCAGUAUCAUGUCGUCGCGACGCGCCGUCGCGUAAUCUCAAGUGAACGCCACUGUCGCGUCGCCGCUGUCGGCCGAGGUACGCCGCGGGACGUUUUUUUUUUUUUUUUUAUUUUUUUUUAUUUUUAGACGAGUCUAUUAUACAGCAAUAACAUUUCCGCGCCGAAUCACACGGGACGCGCGGUGCGGCCGUUUAAACGGCCAAUUUAUCGGCCGCGCGAUUGCGAUUGAUAAUAUUAUCGUUUGCGGAAUAUCGAACGUAACGUACCUCGCGGCAUUUGACGCCCGGCACGACGUGCAGGAGGAAGUGGUGGCGGGUCACCACACCCAUCUCUCGGGGAUGAGAGGGGGGGGAGUGCGUAGGUUUAAGAUUUAUUACAGGAACUCAAUUUUUUUUUUAACCGCCGAUUCCGUCGUAUUUCAAAUAAUUGAUUGACAGACCCCCCCUCUCCCCCCGUAAAUAAUCUGAUAUCUGCGCGGCCGUUUUGGCUAAACAAUCCAAAAACUAUUGGCGAUUUAAUCUUGAAACGAGUAUUAUAUUUUACAGCCAACAAGGAUUAUAUUGAAUGAAAACUAUUGGCUUUUUAUUGCCAUUGUCAGGUCAGGUAUAAAAUAAAAAAAAUCCUAGUGUUCCACGAUUUAUAUUAACCACGAUUAUUAUUUGCUAUACGUUCCGUCUCAAUUCCCGGGCACGCCAUCGAUAUCUUUUUUUCUACUUCGUGGUACUUACUUUUAUAAUUAAUUUGUUUUUUAUAUACACACACUGUAAAAAUUAUUGUAAAUCUCUGUAGAAUACAUUAUUAUUAAUAUAAUCGUUGGCGGGUUAGUUCCGUGGGUAAGUAUCCCGGAGCCUAAUACCAAUGGAAAUUCCGACGAGUUUACGAUAGAAUCGACGCGUUUUCUUUGCGCGAAUCGUCUAUUUAAAUCAACUGCAGUUUGAUUCACGUUCGAUAGAAAAAAAAAAAAAAAAAAUCGUUACGUAAACAACGUAACCGGGCAUAGUCGCCCUAUAUAAUAUAUAUCUGAUAUUUCGUGCUGCACACUUUUCACAUAAAAAAAAAAAAAAAAAAAACCUCACGGAUAUUCUUAAAUGAUGCAACUAUGCCUGUUUAACUCACCUGUUUCUCUAAUCCUAAUAAAUAUUGUAUACAUUUUUAUUGGAGUGUAAAAUGCUUUGAACUCGAUGCGUUUUUCCCAAAAUAAUAAUAAUAAUACGUGUAUAAAGAUGUUACCUAAAUAUGUUUUUAUGAAAUAGCUCGUACCUGUAUACCUGUAUUAUUAUUAUUACUGACGGUUUAUAACAUUGUUAUUACCUAUAUUACCUAUUUAUUUUUUCUUCGUUACCAAUAAUUAUGUCGUUGGUGCGUAAUUAUUAUGGGCACCGGGCCAACACUUUUUCUUUUCGUGCCGCGCGUUAAAAAAAAAAAAAAAAAAACAUAACAAAACCAAGUGCACGUUGCGUGCGCAAACCAUCGCGCUCGGCAGUGGUCUCGACUGACCGUCUCAUUUUUUUGUUCGUGCGACGUGUACACGGGUCUCGGGCGAUUUUGCGUUCCGUCGACACGUGCGACCGUUUAAAACGGCAACAAAUCACGCGGUUUUAACGACUUUCCAGCCGACGUCCGAUAUGUUGUGCAGGUAUAUAUUAUACAUAUAUAUAUAUAUAUAUAUAUAUAUAUAUAUAUAUAGAGAGAGAGAGAGAUAUUCUGAAGACACGACGACGUUGAUUGCAACCGACACGGCUAAAUGACGGGACAGCGGGCGGUAUUUCGCCGACGAUUUAGUGUUGGUUUAUACAAUACGAUUCUAAUGUUAUUGCGCUCUGGAGUGGCGUGUCCACGCACAAGAGGAGACUAUUCGGCCCUAGGAUUGACAAAGACAAAUGUCCUCGAUUAAACGCACAGAGAGUAAAAUGAAAAUGACGAAAUCGCCGAAAUUCCGAAAAAGAUUGUAGCGUAUCAUAACAAUGCGAAGUGACCAAUGGCUAAAUAUGAUAAAAUGUAAAAUUCCUGAGUUUUAAGGGCGAUUAACGUCAGAGGUUUUCAGCGGUGACCACAAUCAAAAUUACACAAGAAAUAUCGACGAUAAUUAUUUAACUACAAUAACAAGUUCGUUUUUAUAAGAAAAAUAAAUAUAUUUAUAAAUAAUUCAACUCUUAUAGUGACAACAUUGUGCGUAGGUUUUCAGCAAAAGUCGCCCUAAACUAUAAGAAUGCACCUAUUUUCUUUGUGUUUAAAAAAAAAAUACUAAAAUAAUUUUUUACCGUUUGGAAACGGCCAUAAAUGUUGUUUUUUAGAUUAUGCGGAUUCGUAGAACUCGAAACGUUAAAAGCUCUACUGCGCGAAUUCCCCUUUGGACAUGAAAUAUAACCGGGGGAAAAAAAUAAAUAGUUUCUAACGCCACUGACUCUAUUAUUACAACAUCUCGACCUCACACGUCGAAUACGAUUUUUCCGCUCUUGUUUUCGUUCACAGUGAUGUUUUUCUCGUUUUUUUUUUUUUUUCAGCGACAAACCUUUAAGUAUAGGUACCUCCUAUAUGUAUCUAGUUUUCGGACGACGGCGGCGGUCGUGUUCGGACUUUUAUUUUAUUAUACGAGUAUGUUGUUACGGCCCACGCGCGAAAUAUCCGUAACGAAAUAAUUAAAUUAAAUUCCGUGUUGAAAAAACAAAAAAAAAAAAAAACAUAAAAAACUACGCAAACACGGGCGUAACCCACUCGCGCAUACACAAAUUAUUUCCGAAAUGAAAACAUAAUAUUCCCGAGAUGUGUUAUGACGAUUGUGCGCGCGCGCGUAAUAUCUGUAUACCAGUAGAAGUCGCGAGCAAUUUGUAUUCGACUACCUACGUUGUAAACUCGUUUUUAUAAUAUUAUAUCUCCGCUCAACAUGCGCGUUAUAAACGCAAACAGAUUAUAUUAUAAUGUAUACAUUACCUAUACGAUUCGAUAUAUUAUUGUUAUUUAGAGUACGGGCCCGCUGCACACGCGUAUAAUGUGCGGCACGCGUUUCGAAAAAAAAAAAAAAUCUCCCGACAGAUUUAAAUCGCAAAACAUUUCGCUAUUGGCACCUACAUAAUGAUCACACGCCCGGUGUGUAUAAUUAUUGAAAUUGGUUUUGCUGGUGCGGAAACGAGGAACUCGUUCUCGGUCUUUGUUCGCCGUUAAUGUCGAUCAUUGACAAUAAUGGUAUAGAGACGUCGUCUCCCGUUUAAGUAUUCCUAUACGGCCUGCGGGUCUAACGAAUAACGACGAUAGAUUUUUGUUAAGCGGUUUCUGUCACAAACGAUAGUUAACUAUCGCAACAGACGUGUUCGAAUUAAUAAAAACCGUAUUUUAGGAAUUGAAAAUUUGUUCAACUCCGAUUCAAAUGCCGUGUCUCCAAAGGGCACGCGACACUGCCGAUUGCCAAGCGUGUAAUGUUGAUCACGCAACCGAAUGCAAUUGAUAGGUAACGCAUACAGCAAUACAAGUAGGUAUUACGAGACUAGUUGUCCCGCGCCCGGCAUUGCCCGGGUGGAUUUUUCAUUCUUUUUACAUUUAUUUCCGUUUUGCUUUGUCCGUGUCGGUAUAUUGAACUAAAGCAAACGGGCGGACAUUGGGUAGUCCGCGGACUAAAAAAAUUGUUCUAGUGUGUCAUACAUUUUUUUUUUUCAUUCGUAUUACCAUAAAUACCCGCACAACACAGGGAUUAAACUAUACAUCCGCUAUAAAAGUUGUUACGGCGUUUUUUAUUUCUGUUUAUCGUUUGUUCGUUUUCAUUUCAUCCGUGUUUCAACAUGUUUGCAAUCCGUUUUAUUCAACAAAAAUAAUUUUAUUUUCGUACCAAAAAUACCUAAAAACCUUUCAUGUCCUAUUUUACCUCAUUCAAGUUUUAUUUUUGUGACAAAAAAAGUAGCCUAUGUUUUUCUCUAAGUCCACGUCUAUUUCUACACUAAAAUUCAUCAAAAUCCGUUCAGUAGUUUUUGCGCGAAAUAGUAUCGAACAUCCAUCCAUACGUCCUCACAAAUUUUUACAUUUAUAAUAUUAUAGUAGGACAUACGAGUUUGUGUGUGUUUAAUAUUGCGUACCCAAGAAAAUUAGUCUUUUUCGUCGGUUUUAUUUUUAUUUUUCGAAAUAAUCCGCAUCACUUGCUAAAAUACCGUAACGGCCCGAGUCGCAAAGUCAUACUCUGUGCAUGUGUGUGUGUGUGUUCAGUCUGAAACACGUGACCCGGACGUUUGGGAAUCGGCUGCUGCAGCGGCGUUAUUAGAGAGUGAGAGUCAGAGAGAGAGAGACGAUGUAGUCGUUGUCGUUGCGGGCGAAGCUUCGCAGAAAAUCGUUGAUUUUGGCAUGAAAACCAGACCACUCGGAGACCCGCUCCCGCGAUCUACCACAGGGUGCACCCGUAUAUAUAUAUGUGUAUGUGUAUACGGUGUGUAUAAUGCAUACAAUAAUGAUAAUAACACGCUGACGCGGAACAGAGAGAGGAAAACAUUAAUCACGUCACAUUUAACACGUUCCCGGGCCCCGGUCCGUAUACGCGGGCGCGCGCGCGCGCCCGCGUAUAAUAACGCGUACACCUCACUCGGUGGAUGUCGGUGUAAUUUUUUUUUAUUUUCGUUUGCCGAAAACCAGAACGGCGUGUCUCGUGUGAUACGCCGACACGGCCCAAAGGAGCUUAUGAUUUGUGUACGGAGUUGUGUAUAGACGUUUAACACCCGACGACAAAAUGAGUCGUUAUAAUAAUCGGAGAGCCGCAGCCGCCGCCGGAAAGAGGUGUAACUGUACAAUAUUAUUAUUAUACAAGACGUAUGUUAUAACACGGGUACAUGAUGAUAAUAAUAAUAUAUGUGCACACGUCUCGAGGAUUAUUAUUAUUUCUCCCCCGUCCCACCGUUCGAAAACCGGACUCGCUCCUGGAUUGGAUCGGAUACAAUGACGGCGGCGGCGGUUCGGAAAUCAUCGUAAUGAAUGGGUUCCUUAUCACGCGUACCCGGUACCGUCGUCAUGGGCGAAAAUUUCACGUUUCCCCCACGGACGUUCGCGCGCUACAACUAUGGCGGCGUCGAAUUUUUGUACGUCUACGUACGCGUCGGGUUCGUUACACGCGGGCUACACAAUGUCGGGGGGGGGGCGGCGGCGGCGGNNNNNNNNNNNNNNUGUCCGGGCGCGGAGCGAGGAAGGGAGGAGGGGGACCGACGAACGGUUUUUUUAAUUUAGCCAUCAGUUGAUACAAUAUCUUUGACAGGUAUAAUUAUGGCCAGCCGACAGAGACGGGUUCGUGUGUAUAUGUGUGUGUGUGUGUGUGUGUGUGUGUGUGUGUGGAUCCAUGACAUUUAAUUAAAAUAUAUCAGCGUUAGUAUAUUAUGUGUUAUACGUGUAUAGAGAGAAAUAGGUACACACGCGCGCUCGCGCACUCUAUUUUAUAGCCUCGGGUGGCGGCGACGUCAGUGGCGGCCGCGUCAUAUGGGCGCGGGAUGUGUUUUGUUCGGACCGAAUCUCGCUCGGGAACAAAGAGUCGAAAAAUGGAUGUCAUAUAUUUAUUUUUUUUAUUAUUUAUUUAUUAUUAUUAUUAUUAUUAUUUUACUGUACAACGUUAUUAUUAUUGUACAUUGAUCGCGAGGUGAAAAAAGACCCAUCGACGUAUUAUUACGGGCGGGCAAUAAUGUACCUUACGUCGGUAUACUCGCUACGACUCGUCGUCUAUAACAAUGUUACGUCUAUAACACUAGCGCGAUAAAAUAACACCAAUAGAUAGCGCGAUUUUCCCGCGAUUUUUGAAUCUGAUAUUUCGUCGCUCAUUACACGCGUAUACGAGGCGUACUGUAUAUUAUUUCGGCCACGGUUUAUCCGCAGAAGAAACGACCGUAUUGAACAAAAAAAAAAAAAUAAUAAUAAUAAUAAUAAUACGGGUUCUUUUCCAAAAGAGUAACACGGAAAUACGAACACACCGCCAACCAAUACACAUCACUUAUUGUAAUAAUAAAUUGAAUUAAUUAUACGGGAAAGAUUUCGAUAGGUGAAAAAAUACCGAUCGUAGUCGGCGGCGAAUUUUCUUUUAUCUACAUAGGUAGUGAAUGGUUUCUAGUCGAUCCCGUUUUCGUUCUCGUGGAUGACAAAAAACGGACGGUAAUUCGAAACUCACCUGAAGUAAAGCAGCUGAAUUUUUAUUUAUUUAUUUUCAUUUUUUUUUUUUCGUGUGUGUUUACUGCCAAUAUUUACAUAUUUACCGUCCGAAACCUUUUCAACUGUACAAACACUAAAAGACGUCCCUGCUCUCCGAAAGUCUCAUGUGUAUUGGUUUACCAGUUCAUUGGUGCCGUAGCCGUAGAGUGAGAGUAAAAAUCGAGUAAAACGAGUGGAAACAAGUGUCUCCCUGCAGCAUAUUCGAAUACAUACGUAUAUAUAUAUAUCUAUAGUGUACUGAUGUAAAAAAAACCGAACGGCCGGGGAGAGCUCGUUAGAUCACACAACGACGACGACGUCGAUGAAAAACCGGCUUCGGAAAUUAUAAUUUACGGUCUCCGAGUCCCCUGGCCGAAAAAAACUAUAAAAUAAAAAAAAAAAACUGACUCGAACAAUGUCAGAAAAACAAAUACACGCGCACGGCACGCGGGGAAAAAAAAAAAUCACCGAACGAACGCAUAAAUCGUCAACGAAUUCGAAAUAUGUAUUCCGUGCCUUGUGGCCACAUAAUAUAAUAGCGGUGUAUCUUUGGAAUCGUGUACUAUUAUUGUAUGCGCACUGAUUACCGACUGCAGAUAAUGGCCGGUGAGAAAAUAAAACACGUAAGUAAAUACGAAUAAUAGUCUGUAGAUUUUGAGGGGGGUUUUUUUUUUUCCCUUCCAUUUCCGUCAUUAUAUUUUUUUCGUUUAUAGUGGGUGCCCCCGACAGACCGAAUCGAGUUUUUUUUCGGUUCGACAAAUCUUAAUUGCGUUCGGUGCGACCGCUGCUAUCGGUGUACUUACCAUUCGAUUUUUGGGGAGAAAACCGUGUGUUUAUACCGGGAGUCGGCAACGCACAGUGGUUUUAGAUUCUGAUCGAAGCGAGGAACGUACGAUGCGGUUUUUAUUCGUGUCUGUAAACAAAUUUUCUAUCAGAAAUCUUACUCCAAUCAAAAGCUUACUAAGAACUUUCGUGUAGUGUUUUAUUUCUUGUCGACGCUCGUCAAACCGGUUAUUUUUUCGAUUUUUCUUGUGAUUUUCAUUAACAGUUGGAAAAACCGGCAAUUUCGGCAUGAUUUUUGAUCGAUUCCCGGCAUUACUUAAACCCGGAAAACCUGUAAUGAACAAAACAUAAGUGACAAUACUAAACCGGACGGAACUAUCAAUUAGCUCUCGGUAUUGAUUAUUUACGCUAUCCGAUAAAGUUUAAGUUAUUGCACGUCGUAAUGUGCAUACAAGUAGAAAUGUGUUCCAACGGUCAUAAUAACGUCGUUAAUCAUUUUUUUUUUUUAUAAAAUUAAUUUCAAAACUGCAUCAAUAAAACUGCAAGUACAUAUUAUUGCGUUGCGUCGCGUAGACGCGUGUUUGCGAUUAUCGAUUAUUCCAAUCAAAUAUGUAAAUUCGUAAAUUACAGUCUCCAAAUAAUCGUAAACAUUAAACAUAGUUUACAACUAUGCGUGUAUAAAUAUUUGCAUAACUGUAUAAUAUUUGCACUCUGCCGCGGCGAGCUUAUCGGUUAAUAUUAUUUAUAUAUAUACGCGUGUAUACGUAUACGCGUGCAUGCGUGUGCAUAGUUUGUGUUUAGUUUGAGUAUUUACUGCGAUUUUAGCAUAUUAUUAUUAUUAUUGUACGGGGUGUCCCAUUAGGACGACUGGCGCGGAUCCAGAGAGUCAUUAUUGUACAUAUGCGUAUACGCGGCGGACUGCCGAUGGGGGGAGAGGGUCGAAACCGUACGCGCGAGUGUAAACCGACUGAAUGAUAAUAAAUCGCGCGGUCUGUGAUUUCUAACCACGAGAACAUAACGUCGUGCGGGCGCGAGUGGUUUUUUUUUCCUCGAAAUUACUUAUUUUCAUUCUGUCGCGUUACCGCGUUAUAGCAGUUCGGAGCCAAAAGUCAAAAAUAAAUCGGUGACGAAAAUUCUUUAUCGCUCGCGAUGGCGCUUGUUAUCUCCAACAGUUCUUAAGUUCGGCCGUAGACUUUUGUCUCGAACGGUAUAUCCAAAACUGAGAAUAAUUGUUUUUUUUUCUCGUUGUAGAAAAUUAAUAAACAUAAAAAAAAAAAAAAUACACUCGGUAUACUAUUGUACAUGAUGUUACAUUAUCGUUUUUAAUCGGAUAAUAAUGUUAUUAUUUUGUAAUUUCUCGCGUCGAAAUCAUAUUUGUAUUUGCCAUUUCGCAAGAUAACGUCGUAAUACAUUUUAAAAUCCGUUGGAGUACGAUCGCGUUGCGAGGAGCAGGACGGCGAGCUAUAAUUAAAUUCUGCCGUUGACGCGCCGACAAAUAAUAAGUUACGAAACAAAGUUUUUGACGCGUAUCGUGCUGAACUUGAGGUCGUCAAUCCGGCGCGGAAACCUUAAGUUUCAGCCGAACAGUCGAUGCCGCAUAAGCACAAUAAUGUAAUAAAACGAUGCAGUUCCGGACGGCAGAUCGCGCGCCGGUAUCGCGCCGUUACAAUACGCGUACGCACGUGUGCAUAUGUGUGCACACGUACACACGGGCAACGCAAUUACAAUCGCAGCGUUCCCCGCGGAAUAAAACGGGCGGAAAAUUAAUUUUUCGACGGUUAAUUAUCGUUUUCGAACGGGCGCGAAACGUAUAAUAACACCGGCCGCGGCGUCACUCUCGGUGUUUUCGUUCGCCAACAAUAACGUUGAUAUUGAAACGUUAUAUCGCGAUUGUGUGGCACAUACUCGUGUGUGUCUCUCUCUCUCUCUAUAUAUAUAUACGAGUAUAUGAAUACGAUUAUAGAGCGGUUGACGAACUCCUCCGGUGCGGUUUUCCACGUCGAGCGGCGGCAAAUAAUAAUUAAAAUACGCAUAAUCCGUUUCGAAACUCGGCGCGGCGAUGCGUUGUGGGCUAUAUUGUUUUAUUAUGACGUUCGCGUAUACACACAAUACAGGCUCGGGGGACGUUUUCCCUACCCCCACACUCAUCGCCGGUGUAAUUGAAUAAAUCCGAUAAAUAUUAGCGCGGUGUGAAGCGUUUGUGCGCCAAAAAGUUCCCCUCCCCCCCCUCCCCCUCCAUAACACGUAAGUAGGUACUUACGGUAUUAUGAUCGGAGUGCGAAAACGUAAUUGGUGACGUCGCACAGCGUGGAAGACCGGGGGGAAGGGAAUUCUCUUCCGCGUUACGAUGAGCGGACAACGGCGACUGGAAAACGACCGCGACGCGAGACCGGCCGGCCCCCCGGGCCGCGCGCGCGCAUAACAUUUCUCGACGAGAAUGCGAUUAGUGACCGGGGGGGGGGAGGGGAAACCCGCGGUCCUUCCCGGGACGAUGCGGACGAAUGUGCGCGUCGUUCGAUGGCAAAUUUAUACACGCGCCCGGUAUUACAACAAACGACGACGGCGACAAAAUCGUACGAAAAAAAUCAUUACCGGCGACGGUCGGUGUCCCGGCCGCGUUACGCCGCGUCGCGGGUCAAAGGGGAAAACCGGAGACGCGCCCGCGAGGAACGACACGAAACGCAAGGAGUGCGUGUGCACCCGUAUGUAACGCGGUGUUGCGGGCAGUUGAGCAACACUCGCGGGAGCGUUUCGAUUCGGCUGCCGGGGGGUGAUGGGAGGGGGGGGUGAUGUCCGCGCGCGCGUCGAUUUCUUCGCGAUGAAACGCGCGGCGAAUAUCAUUGCGUGCGCGCGUGCGCCGCGACGCCGCGCUCGGAAACGGACAAAUUGCGGCGGUCACCGCGCGAGAUGACAAACGACGGGAGACGAUGAAGACGUUUCGAGGAGUGCGCGUUAAGCAAAAAAAAAAAAAAUCUAUUGAUACGGUCACGGCGGACGGCGGCCGUCGCGACUUAAACGUUUGUAACCGACGUGUAUUAUUAUUAUUAUGUUGCCGGCGACACGUUUUAUAUACGGAAUCGUAAAAAAAAAAUAAAAAAAAACACUUUGUAGAAGGUAAUUUAGGUAUCCGCGGCCCGCCGGUUCACUUUCUCAUUUUACAAGUCAAUAAAAUAAAAACGGGAAUAAUAAUAAUAAUAAUAAUAUACACGUAUAGGUUAGGCGGGUACCACUAAACGUAUUAUGCACGAACGCGCGGUCCUUCGGUCGUCCGCAACCGGUUACGUGCGGACGCCGAGUGACUUGUCAAGUCGCUAAUUAGUCAACCGGGGCGGAGGGGGGUGGGUGAUUAGUAACGCGGCGGUGUAACCAGUUGAAAUUUACCGGCGGACCCGACGAAAGUCGUACGCCGCAAUGAGAGGAUAAAAAGAAAUAUUCGUAUUAUUAUUGUUUUACCCGGGUACACUUACGGUUGGAAACCGGAUUUAUAUUCUCUUCGUAUCCACCGAAGCCACCGCCGCCGAUACGAGUGUAUAAAUCGCACGUUUCGGCCGUUUCACUCCUCGACAAAAUCCCAAAUGCGCCACAAAUGGACGUGCAUUCGUCGUCUUUCGGCUGUUAUUACGACAGUUGUCUAAUGGGACAACGACGCCGUGCGAGGUGGUGUACAGCACGAAAUAUUUCAAACUAUAAUUAAUAUCGUAUUUGGUCCCGGGGGGGGGGGAGAACCGUUAGAGGAGUAUUUUGUUCUUGUGGUUUUCGAUACGCGCCGAUUAAAUGUUCGGGUUUGCGCCCGUCUCUAAGAAAACCCGAUACAACUUCGUCGAAAUUUCUCGUUUUCAUUUUCAAAAGGCCCCGCCGCCGCGGAACGAUCAAUAAUAUCACAUCACAAUAAAAGGAAUUAUCGCGUGUCGCGUUUCUCAUUUCGCGCGAAUUUAUCGUCGAGAUUUAUGAUUGUGCGCGGGCGUCUCAUCACGUAGGCCGUUCGCCGUCGCGUAUUAUAAUUAUAUUAUUAUUAUUAUUAUAAUUCAAAACGCAACGCGAUUCGUUUUGGCGGAUAGGAUUUUAAACAUAAUAUUUUACGCUGCGGUCCGAUGGAAAAAAAUAAAAUAAUAAUAAUAAAUAAAUAAAUAAAAAAUAUGAUUUAUUCCGUCGAGAGUAUUUUCGUCUUAUUAUUAUUAUUAUUAUCAUCGCAUUUUUUCGACCGGACUCUAUACCGGGCCGACGAUAAUAUUAGAAAAAAAAAAAAAACGGUUUACACCGCGCGUGUAUAUAUAAUCAAGUCGUUAUUCCGCGUCGGUCUUUACAAUGCGUACUUAUCCGUCGACUUAUCUCGCCUCCGAGCGAAACGGCCGUACGGUACACGGUCUUACCCGUGCACAUUAAACACGAUGGCAAGAGAUGAAUUAUCUUUUAAUUCGAAAAUAAUGUAUUAUUAUCGGGCGCGCGUUCGAUUGUUAUUACGUUUUUUUUUUUUAUAUAUAUAUUUUUUUUUUUUUUUAUUGUUCGCCGCGACGCGCGAUUUACCGUCAAACGGUCGUCCGGAGUCGAUUUUCUGCGUUGGCGCGCGUGUUUCACGUACACAUGCAAUUACUUAGUUCGGAUUCUGUUCGCGGAGAGGAAACCUUGGGUUUGGAUGUGUGUGUUUUUUAAAUCUGAACUAUUUUAGCGAGAAAUACAUCAUAUCGGUUCAUGCGCGCGUUUUCGUUCCGUCUGUGAACGUAUAUUUCAGUGUCGGUCCACGUGCAGGGCGGCGGGUUUCUGCGCAUUCCCCUCGAAACGAUUGCUGGCGCGCCAAUCCCUGAUACGAGUAUAAUGUAGCAGUAACGUUACGAUACGUCUCAUUUCGAACUGAACCGGACAUUUUUCUUUUUAUUAUUAUUAUUUAUUUUUUAAAAGCUCAGUAAAUCAUCUAUUGGAUUUACACGCGUUUUUUCCCCGCCCGAACGAAACGUUUCCCAUCAGACGUCUUUCUCCGAUCUUGAAGUGUGAAUAUAGCAUCUUUUCCGAAAACAAAUUAACCCUACAGUAAUCGGUGCAUUGACGGAUGCCAUUUUUUUAAAUAUUUUUCUUGUUGUUGACAUUCAGUUACAGGUAAUUGUAGAAACUUGAAAUAUUCGCAAAAUAAUUAUUAAUAUUUGCCCUGUAUUUGCCCGUUUAUAGACGUGAAAAAACAUUCUGGUAAUUUUUCAGCCAUUAUUGUUGUAGACAACUGACAUUUUCUAGUUUUUUUAAGUUUUUAUUCAGUCUUAUGUGAAUAAAAUUUGUUUGGCUAUGUCAAAACGAUUAAAGGUUUGUUAUUUAUAUUUGUUGUACAUAGUAGCGAAAGCAAAAAAAAAUUUAAGCGACUUGUAAUAAUUUAUUUUAUUAGCGUUUUAAGUUCAAAAGUUGACGAUAAUUGUUAAAACCACGGCAUUUCAAAAUAUGUUCAACGGCAUUUCACUCAGAAACGUUUUUCGUUAACAAUUUAUGUAAUUUAAAAAUGAAUCUGUAUAAUAUUAUAUACUACGUUUUCAACUAACCACAGCAAUGUCACACACCCGUCAGUAGCAGUAUCAGUUCUUUUUUUAAUUUUAAUUUUCGUCUCAUAAGUCGAAGUUGAAAUAAAACCGAGUCCGCGAGAUAGUUUUAUUAUGUAAAAUUUAUUAUACAUGUUUAAUAAUUAAUUUCGAAAACACUGGUCGUAAACUGAUUAAAAAUAUACCAUUACGAUACGUGGGUAAUAAACAAAAUUCGCAUUAUUCUUGAUUAAUUAAAGCGUUGUUUUUUUUUUUUUUUUCUAUCCUCGAGAUAAUCAAUGCGUGAAAAUAUUAUGCCAAGUAAUCUGAAGUAUGUACGCACAUAUAUUUAUGUGUCUUCUAAAUCAGAUAUAAUGUAAACAAUAGUUUGGAACGGUGGAAGUUAUAUAUUAAUUUCAUUGUUGUUGUAAUAUAUUUUAUUAUUAUUAUUUUUUUUUUUUCAAAUCCACUGUCUAACCACCGCGCGUAUAGUCCAAUUAAAAUAAAUCGUGGCUUUUUUUUUUUUUUUUUUUUAUGUUUUAUAUUCUCGCAAUUGUAGAAGUAAUAUUACAUAGUAGGUAUACUUAUCCAGCAGACGAAACCCGGUUUUAAAAUGUAUUGCGUUUACCAAAUCCGCACUCGUUUACACACGCACGCGCACUAAAUUCUUUGCGUACGAUACGAUCAACCGUAUUAAAAUAUUAUAAUAUGAUUAACUAUCAACUAUGACUUUGCAGGUUAAUCAAAUUUCAGUGAGCUGUGACAUUCGUUUAUGUAACAAGGUCAGAGAGCACAUAUUAUUACCCACAUGCAAUAUGCGUAUAGACCGUGUCUGCAAACUAUCUAGAGCGUUUCUCGAGUUGCGUAUAUAUUUAUCACAUUAUGCUCAACAAUAUCACAAUAUCAUUAUAAUGGUUGUCAUAGACGAAAAAAAAAUCGAACAGCAUUCAAAUUAUUGGGUUUUCGAUUAGCUGUUCGAAUCGCCGUGGUCAUUUUUUUUUUUUUUUCUUGCCAUGUGUAAAUUUGAUUUUAAAUAAUUUUUAUAACGAUUUAACGAUACAUGUAUAGAUUGUCAGCUUGCAUAUUCUUCAACAAUUUCAGUUUUCUUUUAAGAGUAGAUUUUUUUUUUUUUUGUUUUUUUUUUAAUUUGGUGUUUAAGGUCGAACACGUGUAAGGCGGUGUCGAGAAACGCCGGUCAGCGGCGGGGCGGUAUUUUCUGAAUGACCGACAACCGCACACUCGGCUCGGUAUUUAAUUACAAAUAUUAUUUAUUUUCGAAAAUACGAUUUGGCACCUAAAGUAUAUACCCGCAACAAUUUAUGACGCCCAGAAGAAAUUUCGAGCCGUAGAUAUUUAUUAUGGCUCGCAGUCGUUCGCGAGACAUAUGCCCUACCCGAUAUAAUAAUCCCAAAAAAAAAAAAAUAAUAAUAAUAAUAAUAAAACUGUUCAGUACCUAUAGAAACUGUAGGAAAAAUAGAUUCUGGAUACGGGGUUAAGUUGAUUUUCAAACUGUCCGCCGUAUUCAUUUCAUAAUAAAUGCACGGUAUAUUGAUAAUAAUAUCUGUACUGUCACUCUGAGUUAGACAAUUUUAAAUGUACAGUCGUAAUUUUGACGCAAACAAUUUCGUAAUAUAUAAAUGUUAAUUUCAUACGAUUAAGUUAAAUGCUUAUUUAGUUACAUUAAAAAAAAAAAAAAACAGUCUAUUUGUAUAAUUUUCUGAUAAAUAAAAAAGACGUAAUUUACAAUCUGCUUGUUUCCAGUACUGAUCGGAGUAAUUCGAAAUACUCUAAAUUGUAUUUUUUUAUUUGCAUUGGAAUUUCGCAUAGUAUAAUUCCUUCUCUUACUGUUUCCGUUUCAUACACAGUAGCAGCACUAGCUUCGGUUAAUAAUUUAACUCACCUUCCGACCGACUGAUUGACGAUCUUCGUAUCACAAAGUCUACGAGAUACGUAUUUACGUAGGCGUUUGGAAUAAUGAAUAACAUUUUUACUGGCAUGCGAAAAAUAUCUGAAAACAAUGACAAACGCGCAUAGUAUUCAAAUUCUCUUUUAGUUGCAUACGCCCCGAACGUCACGGACAGCACUGUCAUUUAGAUAUAAAUUAAAACCUAUGACGAUAAUAUGCCAUCAAACAAAAAUAUACAAUCAUUGUUUUUAAUAUUGUGUACUUGUUAUUUUUCGGGCUGUCGGUUGUUUUCAAUAAUAAUUGCUAAUUAAUUUUCGUUUUGCUUGUUCGAUGUUUUUUUCCCCCUUUGAUUUUGGCGUCCCGUUUCGACGACGUCUAUAGCAUUUUUGGUCUGCGGUUGCUGCUGCUGCUGUUGGUCUUGCAGUUCUGAUUACUUACCGUUUAUUUUCACGUCAUCGUCGUCGGCAUCACCCACUUACCCGUUUCGUUUAUUAUUAAUUAAAUAUGUUUAUAAUUUGAAAUUACGGCGACAUAACCCGUGUAUAGCCUAUAUUAUAUACAAGGAAAGUUGUUUAAUAUAGUUGUUAAAACUUUCCCCGUGAAAGUCGCCUGUUAAUUCCGAUUACAUAUUAUAAGACGCGACUGCGUCCUCCGGAACCCGACUUAUAAAUGCGUAUAUACAUACAUAUAUAUAUAUAUAUAUAUAAAGUUGUACACUGCAGUUGCUAUAAUUAAAUUUAAAAUUUAACGCGGCGCAAACGAGUGCGUAUUAUGCACGCGCUGCCUGCGAGAAUCUUAAAAGUUUAUUCUAAUACCGAUUAAAUAUUUAACGAUUCCGCGAGAUUGAAAUUCCGUCUACUCGUAUUCGUAUUUUGUUUUCUUUUUCUUGUUUUUUUUUUUUUUUUUUUAUGACCGAUUGGUGCAGUAAAUAAUAAUAUACCUCUAAUAUUAUAAAUUAUGUGGCAUAAAUAUACGGUAAAUAAUAAAAAAAAAAAAAAAACGGUCGUAAAUAUUCAGACACGAUCGUCUGCAGGAAUGCCGCGGUCGCACAUGCACACACACGGUUAAUUAUAUACACGUACUCACGUUUUCGGUCGAGUACAAUGUAUUUUAUUGUAAAUUUGUAAUUUUUUCGACCCAAUUGAUCGGCGAGCAAGUCAUUAUAAUAAUGUAGGCGCAGGCGCCAGGUUUUUAAAAUGUCUUUGGGAGUUCAAAUUUUUGAGCUUUUUUUUAAUUUAAAAAGGAUUUUUCCAAAAACAUAAAAUGAAGAAAAACUACACACUAUCUAUUUCGAAUCGGUUUCGUUACCUAUUCGAUAAGAAUGUGUAGGUACUUAGAGGGCACAAGCGCUCUAAUCAAAAAGAUGUUAUCACUGGCACGGUGUUUGCCACGUGAAACCUAAGAUACCUGUAACGACACUGUGAACAGGUUAUUCGUUAUGUCGGAUGAUAAACAAAUAGUUUUUUUUUAUCGUAUAACACGUCUGAUAGUCUGUUUUAUCAAACAAUAAUGGUUUUUUAAUUAUCGCCGGAUAACUUCGGUAUUUAACCGUUAAGAACAAUAUACAUAAUAAUAAUACGCUGGCAUAAAAUGUGCGUUUCGUCAAUAAAACCUUUGAGGGCUGAGCCCGGCAGGUUCAAUAUCGUCAAUUGGGAGCUGUACCGUCCCCGUGUACUCGGCGUCUAAAACGAAUAAUAUGCGAAACACGAGAAACGAUAAAAAUAUCUGCCGGACGGUGCGCAUUCGACAGUCGUUAUUGAAGUUAUUAUCGCGUAAUUCGACACGACCGCGGCGACAAAGACGACGGGUCGCAAUGAAAAUGUCGCGUUAGCACAAUAUCGUAAUAAUAAUGAUAAUGAUAUUAUGUGCAGGCGUGUUACGGGGCCGGUACGGAACGCCGUGACGACAGAAUACGAAACGAUGACGGGGGGGGGGCAAAGGAAAUAUUAUUGUUACACGCGUGUGUGUACGGGGCGGGUAUGUGCGGGUGCUCGCGACGAGAUAAAAAAAAAAUACCAAUAAUAACGAAGUGUAAACGUCCACCAAAACGAAAUCGUACGCGGACGUAAAUGUUAUUAAUAUUUUCCGUCUCCGUCGCGCCGUUCCCACGGUGGUGGAUACGCGACGACGACGGUGUCGCCGCCGCCGCCACAGUUUCACGGAGGUGACAAUGACGACACUUAUUAUUUAUUGUUAUUAUUGUGAGCAAACUCCGUCGCCGUAUUAUCACGGAAGAAAAAAAAAAUGAAGAAAUGAAGACGUUACCCCGUGUAAUAAUCGAGCCGUCAUUGCGUUAGGCACGGCUAUCGUCGCGCUCGGCGGAGGCGUACCGCCGCGCGUAUUACCGUCCCGUUCGCCCGUUGCAUCUUUAUUACGUAUCAUCACGCCACCGCCGUAUAAUAGAUAAUACAUAAAUAUAAUAACAGGCGCGUCGUCGUAUUUCCGUCUAAUAACAAUAACAUAAUAUGGCGGCGGCGGCGUAAUUUCAGGUACGAUUUAUAAUCCAAUAAAUAUAAUAAUACGAAAAAAAAAAAAAAAAAAUCACAUAUAUAUAUAUAUGUGUAUAAUAAAAGAUAGUACUUAAUGUGAUUAUAUUAUUAUCAUUACACAUUAUUUACACGUUACGCGUAAUAAUACCGAUUCAUUGUUGUGUUUUGACAGAUAAUUUUCCAGUUCCCAUUGCUGAGGUUACGUGGCCCAUGAUACUGGUGCUGGUGUCGUUGCUGUCGGCCGCGAUCGGCGCCCUCUUCAUGGUCGUUUUCCUACACCUCAAACUGUAAGUCAUUAUUAAUAUUAUCGUACGUAGUAACCGUGUCGAAGUGAAUAUCACAUUUCAUAACCGAAAUAUCCGUCGGAGUCGUCGGGUUCGGGCUACCGACAACACUCGGCAAACGCUCACGCAACGUUUAAA